UGCCGUAAGCAAAGUAAUUUAAAAAAAAAAAAAAAGACAAGACAAACUGUGAGAAAUAUUUCCAGCUCAUAUACGUAAAAGGAUUAUCACCUUAAUGUAGAAAGAGCAAGAAGUCAAUAUGGAAAAAAACAAGAACUCAAUAGAAAGAAAAGGCAAAGGGGAAAAACAGGCACCUUAUAGAAAAAUGAAUACUAAAAUCAUUAAACAUAAAAAGUUGUUUAAUAUUACUCAUAAUAAGAAAAAUGCAAAUCAAAAUACACUGAAGUAUCAUCCAUUUACCUUUACAAUUGCAAAAAUCCCGUCUAACAGAUCGCUAUUUUGUUGAGGCUAAGGUAAAAGGGUACUUUCAUAUAUUGCCAAUGGGACUGCUCAGUGACACAACUCCUGUCGAGAUCAAUUUGGCAAAAUUUCUCAAAAUUUAAGAUGCAUGUAACCCUGUGACCAACAAUUUUACUUCUGAAAAUUUAUCCUGCAGAAAACCUGCACAUCUCUGAAAUGAUUUAUGUACAAGGUUGUUCACUGGAGCAUUGUUUGAAAUGACAAAAAUUGUUCAUAAAUAGAGACUGGUAGAAUAAACUAUGACACAUUUACAUAAUGGAAUACUGUUCAACUGAAUAAAAGAUUAAGGUAGCUCUCUAUAUACUGAUGUGGAAAGGUUUCCAAGAUAUAUUGGAGAAUUCAAGAUUGAGAAAUGCAUUGAAAAUUACAAGAUUGACUAAUUCAAGAAUAGUCUCACAUAAAAAUGAACAUGAAAAUGUCAUAGCAAUGAUAAAAUGAUCCCCGUGCUCCCCCAUCUUUUAGCCACUAGUGCAGCCAACAUUUGGGCGAAUGUGGUGAAACAGUAUUUGGCAUCCUUGGGACUCGUUCACCUUGGACCGUAAAACGUUUCCUGUUCUUCCCUCUCUAGCUCUGCAGCGUUCUUUCAAUGCUAAUAAACAGCUACUUCUUUUUAAACUCAAUGGAGUCACUGGUAAAAUCUAAAAUGACAUUAAAAUGUUGCAACCAUGAAUUAGUUGGGAUAAAUCCCAUUGAAAAGCCUAGGAUGAUUCGCCGUAAGUUCUACUCUCCAUGUGUUGAGUGGAAAAGAUCUGGUUAUUCACUUGUUGCUAUCUAAGAAGAAGAAAACACAUUUCUCUGGGAGUUUAAAUGUAUGAGAUUAUUAAAAAUAAUGAGUAUAAUAUAUUCAUUCAUUAGAUACAAUUUAUCAAGAUUCUAAAGUGCUCAGGUGAUGUAAUCAGUAUGCAUAAGAUUACUAACAUGAGACAGAAUACAGCAUUAGGCUGAUGAUGUAUGUUGAGUACUUGGGGGGGUCCUAAAGGAGAAGCCUAUCUAAACGGUGCAUUGUAAUUGAUAAUACAUUUAAUAACAGCAGCCUAAUUUUUGUAAAAUGAGCAACACAUUCAUUCACUGGUCAAAAAUUAUAGCAUCAGUCCACCAAGCUGUUUCCCCAAAGGUUCCGUCAUAUUUACAGUCAAGAGUGCUGUCUAGAACAACCCAGAAGUCACAAAAGAGAGCAGGGAUAAAUGCUCCUAAAUUUGAUUCCCCAUUUCCUUUUUCCCAUUACUUUUUGGUAAACAGAUAACCAGUGAGUUAUCCAUUCUGUGUAGGAAUUUCUUCCUCUGGGUUCCAUUAUUCACUUUAGGCAUUUAUUUUAAAAUGUGGAGGUAGGCAGGUAGGGAGUAUUGAUUGAUUGAUUCAUUCAUUCUUUAGUAAUUAAACACCCAAUAUGUUCUGGGUAUUUUGCCAGCAUUAAAAACACAGAGAUAAAAGACAUAGUCCCUGCCCUCAAAUAUUUCAGUCUACUGAGGAGAAGGGAAAGUAAAAUCCAACUAAUUAUAAUACAGGGUGGUAGCUGCUAUAAUUGAGUUAAGCUUAAAUAGCUGUGAGAGAACAGAGGCAUGAGAACCUGACUUUUGAUGAGGAAGCUCGAAAACAAAUUUGGAGGAGAUGAUGCCCGAGCUAAAACUUGAAGGAUGGGAGGAGUUGAUCAGGCAGAGACUAGAGAAGAUGGAAAGAGACACCAGGUAGAGGCAACAGAAAAAAAAAAGAAAUAUUACAGAGCAAGGCAGAGCAUGGUCCAUUCAGGGAACUGCAGGCAGAUCCAUAGAGCACUGGGUGAUAUUUGGGAAUAGCAGGAAGUGAGGUGUCAGAGGUGGGUAGGGCCCACUCAGGUUGUGGUGCAAGUACCACUUUAGAUAAGGUGAUCAGGGAAGCCUGAGAUCUGAAUGAAGAGUCAGCCAUGCCAAACUCAGGGAGAGGAGCAUUCUCAGCAGAUAACUGCGUGUAGUGUAAGAUAAGUCUAUUCCAAAGAGUGGUUAAAUUGCUAGGGGCACUGAUUCCUGGUUGUCAGAGAUGAACAGGACUAUUCCAAAUACUAUUCCCCUGACUAUUAUCUAAUCUCUUUUGUUGUCUCUGGAACCAUGGCUCUUUCCCAUCAAUGAAUUCAUUCAGUCCCCGUAAUCAACUCUGAUUAGUGUUGUUUAACAUCAAUCUUUUCCACUUUUUUUCAAAGAAAGAUACCAAUCAGUUCUGCACACCCCUGCUUGUUAAAAGCAGCACCUCUCCUGCUGACUUACCGUUCUCUUAAUCAAAAGGGCAGGAGGAAGCAGUUGGGAUUCACUUUUCUUUUUUUAUUCUUUCAAAGUACACAAAUGUCAGCUUCCUCAAGGAUGUUUGGCAUAGCUGAGUUCAGUCAUGUAAUGUACAAAGUCAGCUUGAUCAAAAGGUUGCAGGCUGCCCACUGCUAAAAUGGAGGGAGAAAAGGAAACCAAGGGCUUCUCUGAAGUGUGAAUGAGUGCAGAGGCCACUGUCACAUGUGUAUUUACACUGAGGACAUGCUGAGCCGACAAGGGAGUUUGGGAAACAUAAGCCUCUACCAAUACUCUACUCUGCCUUCACCUUUGAAACUCUGGAGUAGCGCUUUCUUCUCUUUCCUACUUUCAUUGUUGUUCUCAGCCAAGUACUUUCUAUACAGCUUUGUAGCAACCCCAAGCCACGGCCAUUUAUACGUAUUUAAAAAGUUAUUUUCACUGCCAGUCUCCAUACUUUAGCUGAAGAGUAUAAUUCUCCUUACCUCCAUGACUUGAAAAUGUUAGCACCUAGAACAGGCACCAGGUAGUUCAUUCAUUCUCUUACUCUUUUAACAAAUCAGUAUCCAUCAUGUGGUUGUCAAUAUGACAAACCCUUGUCAAUAAUUCCCCUGGAAGACGCUUCUAACAGUCAGAAGCAGAAAAUAAAUUUUCCAAAGAGUUUAUUACCUUAGAUUAAACUGUAACUCAACUUGGUUUCAGAAAUAGGCAAAAGUCUGUAAAUAAAACUUACGGACAUAUCUAAACCUGAACACAUAUUCCCAUCAAGCACAAAAAUCAUCAUAUAAGGUUAUAGGCUCCAAAUGAAGUUGCACAAGUUAUUUAAUAUUUGGAAGAACGUAGAGCUGGUAUGGUUCACAAAUAACGUUUUGUGCAACCUCCUCCUUGUUCCAAUGUGGAAACCAAAGGGAUGAGAAGGUAUAAGGUCACAUAGCUCUGAGUUCAGCCAGAAAUAGAACUCAAGCUCCAAAUUCUUAGUCUGGGGACUUUUAUUUUAUGUGACGACCAUUUAUUAGGUAGGGAUGAGGGGUGGACAAGAGGGGAAUACAAAGUCUUAAGGUCACUGAUAUGGAGGGACAAGGAGAGCGAUGAGAUGCUAAAAAAUAACCCCACUGGUCUAGAGAAAAGCUGUUCUUUUACUCACUUGAAAUGCCUCUGAUUUCCUGGAAAGAACAUGGGAGAAAUGUGUAUAUAGGAUCACGUUUAUAUGGAAUAAGUUAUUACAUCAUUCCCCCUUCUUACAUGUUCUAAAAAAAAAUCUCCUAGAGCAGUGUUUCCCAAAUUUCCCUGAUUACAACAAUCGAGUAGGUUUCUUGCUUCAGACACAAAUGCCAUGGCUGCUCUAUGGAAGCUUCUGGUUCUCCAGGUCUGGGGGAUUACCCAGAAAUGUGCAUAUUUCACAGAUGAUCCUAAUGAUUCUUAGGCUCAGGGAUGUUUGGGAAACACUAUCCUAGAGAAACCUUUGCCACAGCAGCUAAAAAAUUCUUCAUUCCUUUGAAUUAUUUCAUUUCAAUGUUUCUGUUGUGCCUUUUCAGCAGGUGCAGACUUUCACAGCAAACUGUGAACUCAUACGUUCCUUUAAAAUAACUUUAGAUACAUUUACUGAGUUUUAGGGUUUUUAGUGAUAGCAAAAAGUCAAAUGGGCUUUUUAAGCAGCUCACUCACACAGGAUCAUCAGCCUAUAACUCCCAAGCAUCAAUCCUACUUUAUUAGAGAAAGAAGAAAAAACCCUGUGCUUAGUCAACCUCCUUUAAUUGUAUCCAGGGUUACUUUUUCACUUCUGUUUCAUUGUCUGUCAAUCUGGUUGAUCAGUUUACUAAUUUCUACCCUGUUGGAGGUGAUUCUCAGAAAAAUCAGUCUGCCUUUGUUGCAUCCCAGAGAUAUUCACAAUAGAAAUAAGAAGAAAGCAUAGCCAACAAAAAUAACUAGGAAAAGAAACCUCCACAUCUGGGCCCAGGCCCCAUCCUGCUCAGUGAAACAUCUGUCUUAUAUCUUUUUGACACAUAAAAAUAAGGCCUUUCACAUCAUCUCACCUCUCCUUGAUAAGUCAGUCUAUUUCCUUCCAAAUUCUGUCUGAGACAAAACUCUUCAGCUCCUCCACCUACCUUUGAGAAAGACACAAUCAGGAAACGGUGUCUGAGAUGAGCUCACUUCCUCAUGUCUUUCAGUCAGACUUUUAUUAAAUGGAUCCCAAGCAAACCAACCAAAAAACAAAAAUACUCAUGUCACUUCUUUUGCAAUAAUUCUGCAGUCUUGAGGAAAAUUGAAUUUCGGGGAAAUGAACAGUUGAUGCCCUCUUAUAAGCAUGAGAGGAGGGGCAAUGACUCUAAAGAAUGUCUGUUAAUUGUGGUUGUACUGUAGUUAUAUUAAGAAUUGCACAAUUAAUUCCCACUAUCAAAUUAAACUGGUAAACGGGCCUAGAUUAAAAACACGUUUGCUCUGCUUGUUUUCCUCAGUUAUAUACAAAGUAAUCAUAAAUUCAGUUUGCCAUCGCUAGUAUGUUUUCACUUUGGGGGAAAAAAAUGUUUUUCCUCGCAGGGCAUAUUGCAUAUUGGGAUGAUAAACACCAAGGUCAAUGAUGUAUAUAAUUGUGGGGGUAUGACUGUUGCUAAAAUAAGCACCUAGUUUAGUACACUAUUUCCCUUAGAAGCUGGAAGCAUAGUCAUUUUUUCCUACUGGGAGAGAACGUGUCCCUUGAGUUGGGUAGAGACUGAGACGCAGAGUGGUACAGCCUGAAGCAGGAAACACACUUGACAGGCAGAAUCCAGGAGGAUGAGACAGCAUCAGAGCAGCAUUAGAGACAGUGCCCGGAGACAGCAGAGAUGUGUGGACUCUUGCGGCACAAUUGAAAGAUUAUAGAUGGUGGGUGACCAUGGUUUUAAGAAUCCAUCUCCACUGGCCACAACAACAUUGGCAGCCAACAUUUGUAAGGUCUCUUUAAUUAUGUCAGUGACCAGAGCUAGCCUCCCAGGUUAGGCUGCAACAACAACUAACAAGCUGCCCCUAGCCUCCUUCGGGACUCAAAUGAUAAAGCCUCAGAAAUCACAGCAACAGCAGCAGCAGCAAGAGCACGGCUUUGACCUGCAGUUCUUGCCCAUCAAAGAGCUGUGCCCUGUGCUCCCACUGACAGGCAGAUAAAUACAGAGAUCUGUUGGCAAGUACGUAUUUAUGUAUAUCUCCAUCUCCUUCAUACAGACCUACAGAGAAUGCAUAACAGCUUCCAGUGGUGUAACACAUUCAUCCUCUAAUGGGGUGAGGCCCAUUGCUCACAAAUGGGUGAAAAGAAGCAUCAAUACGCAGGUCUUAACCUCAGUUUGUGGGCAGAAACCUGUCAUUCCAUUGCAGGCCGAUGGGUCUCCUAUUCAGACAGUCCUUGUUUAAUUUUCCAAACCCCCUCUUCUAAAUGGUGCUACUCUAUGCUGUGCAGACAGACAGGUUUGACAAGCAGAGCCAUCAAUUUCACAUUCCCUGUGCCAACUGCUGGGAAAAAUUAGGCCUAGUAUGUACCUGGGAUUGAGUGGCUUGAGAGGCAAGAGCAUUUGGCACUUAGGAAGUAUUUUCCAAAUUAGAAACUGAGAACUCAGGAUGGAAAUCUCACAGAGAGUUAUCCUUGUUCAAAUGCAUAAAAUCAGGAGCGUCAAAUACGUCCUAGUGGUCUACUGUGGGGCAUACAUUAUGCUGAACCCAGAAGAUACAGAGAAAAGUAAGGCAUGGUCUUUCUAGAAGGAGCUCUCAGUAGGUGGGAAAAGGCACUCACUCAAAUGACCACAAUAUAAAAUGGGACAUUUGCCUUAAGAACGGAACAAAGCAAGGUACACACAAUUCUUGGUCAAGAGAAAGCUGUAUAUAGAUGUGACGUAUUGGCCAAAUUGUUACACUUCAAGAAAUGUCAGAACUGUCCAAAGAAAGGCCAACCAGGUGCAUGAUAGAUAAUGAUGAGUGAAUUAGGCACACAGCAAAAGACCAGCUAAUGAGCACUGUUUCUCACAACCAAGUCCCAGAAUUUCCUUGGGAUCUCUGAGACUGCCUCAGGGUUAAUGACAUCUUGGGAUGAUGUUGAAAUCUCUGCUAGCAUAUAGUCUUCCUGAGGUUUCUUUCUGGUGCUGACCUGAUUGAACUGAAGAAAGAAGGGAGAAAACGCAGGAGAAAGGUUCUAUCGCUAUUUCAGGAGUCAGAGAGUGAGAGUUAAGAACUACUAAAUAGUUAAGGACCUAGGAUUCCUCCCAAAUCCCCCUGAGAAGAUCAGCACCCUAUGAUAUGGGAGAUCUCCCACAGAGUCUUGUGUAUCAGGAACUCAUAAAUGGGAACCCAAAGGAGUUUGUGUGUUACCUGAGUUUAUGCCCCAAGGGGUCAAACUUGGAGAGCAUUUCACGUUGUUCAGGAAUAUAAUACAAUCAAGCCCUCAAUGGUUAGAGGCUUAAGUGAGCCUAAGGGCCCACUCCCCAACCUUGCCCUGUCUUGUAAGCAGUAAUGGACUUGACUAUAAACAAAUCAGAAGGCAAAGAGGAUCUCACAUUUAGGAAGUAUUUUCCGGCUAGAUUUAUAGUUAGGUGGCACUACGGUUAGGGUUGGUAGGCAAGAGACACGGAGAGUGCCGUUAACAUUUUCUGAGAUGUCCCUUGUUUAUCUCCACAGUCAUGACUGCAUUUGCGUCUUGAUUGCUCUACAACUGAAUGGCUGCAAUUGCCUACCAGCUGGCAUCUGACUAGUCUCAGUCCCUCAGUCCACUUUGUACACUAUAACCAGGUUAACUCCUAAGGUACCGCUUUCAUUACUUUUGCUUGCCUCUCUAGAAUGUUUCAACUAUUCAGCAAACCCCUAUCGAGUUCUAACUAUCUGACAGCCAUUGUUUUCAUAAUCCACAAGAAAAAGUUCUGGGCACCACCUGCCCUUUCAAUUUGACACCCCAAUCUUCACCAACAUAGAUCGCUUCUCUAAUUUCAUUACUUCCUGUACACAUGAACUUCCUUCCCACUGCCAUGCCUACUUUCACAGUGAAACUUUUCUUCAUUCUCCCUAUUUCUCUGUUUUCCAACAUCACUCCACUGCAUUGCAUCUUACUUUCUCUCCAAAGGACCCAUUUCCCGUCAUCCUUCAAUGCCCAGCUUUUACAUCUACUGCUAAAGUUCUCCCUCUACUACCAAACCUUCCAUGUACCGUUAGACACCACCCUGAAGUUAAUUCUUGUAGUACGCACUGCCUUUCUUUGCUGCUUAUUUUCGUGCCUAAUAAUAGACUAGUAAUUUCUACCUCAUUAAUUUUAGGAUCUGAUUACUAAUAUCUGCAAUAAGACUAUAGAAACUGUAAGGUCCUUGUAAGCAGGUAUUGUAUGUCUGGUAAUCAGUAACACUAUUAACUAUAGGGAAAGAUAUUAAUUAAGAUUAGCAUCAUACUUGUUUCUAAAUUUAAGUUGCAUUGCUGUUUCUCUUUUUAAAAAAUCUUUUCUCCCUUUCCUGUAAGAGUCCAAAAAAACACAAAUAGUGACAAUAAAGAAACAAUCAAUAUAUCAACAUGUAAUGGUCAGUGGUCUUUACCAGCUGCAACAAUGUUCCAUUUUACUGCUCAGCUCCUCUCGCUUUUGCCUGUGAUGUUCACUAUUAGACACAUUCUAUACUAAUGCCAUCAUGGCACAAUUAAAUUUUACAUUAAUUAAGCUUUGGAUGUUAGCACCAGCCUAGGGGUGGAGCAGGUAUAGGGCAACUGAGACCAGGUUCAGGAUAUAAGGUCUGUGAUAUUCAUCAAGGAGCUGGGAUAAGGACCAUUGUAUGAGGCAUAAGAAAUGGUACAAUACAUAGUCUGCAAGCUUGUUGAAUGCCGUUUCUUGCAGAUAGGGCUUGAUAUCAGCUUUCACUUACUUAUUAUUGAUAUAAGUGUAUUUUUCUCAAAAUAUGAUAAAUAUUGAAAGGGGUGUGUGAAUACCAUGAUAUGAAGAUCAAAAUCAAGGUUAGAACCAAGGGCAUCCGAUUAAUAUGCAAAUGGAUAAUGAAUCACUUAUAAGAUUAAAGUUCGAAUUUCAAAUGGGAAGAAGGCAAAGGUAGAGGCAUAAAGAACACAGUUCUAAGGGUGGUGCCCAUGGUUCCAUGAAGGAAAAGAUGAAGCAGAUAGAAGGCAGGCCUACUAUAUUGACUGGAUGUCAUACUGAGAGUUUUGAAUCAGGCAAGACGACAAAAAUACCUAGAAGAGCUUGGACUGGAAGACUGGGAAUAAUAACUAGGGAUAGUGAAUACAGUGGCCUGUGUGGACAAUGAGGUCAGCAUUUAGAAUAUCAGGUAGCCAGGACUAGGACCUAAAUGAAGAGGCUGUAAAGAGAAGAAUGUUCAUUCAUUCUCUCACCCUACAUUUAUUUAUUGAGCUGGAAUUACAAUAGAUCUGGACUAGACCCUGCUUAACAGAAUUUAUAGUUUAGAGGGAAGAGAGGCAUGAAGGACUCAAGUGAUGAGAUGAGAGCAACUGGAGUAAGGUCUAGUAACCGAGCAAUUCUACAUUAAGACUUGAAAUCAGUGCUAAGCCUGAACGCAGUACCAAGGCGACCUUAUCCAAAGCCUGUAUUCUUCAUAUGUUCUCUGUUUAGGAAGACGUUGAGAUUAACAUGUAGGUGAAACUUAAGCCCACAGAUGGGGUAAGCAAGCAUUCCUAGCUGGAUGGGCUGUAUGUGUGUGUGUGUGUGUAUGCAUGCACUCGUGUACUUUUUUCCUAACAGGUAUGAACCACGACCCUGUAGCAUAGGAAUAAAUGAUAAGGAUGAUGAUAAUGAUGAUUAUAACAGCAGCCAACAUUUAUCGAGUGGUUACUAUAUACCAAGUAUUGGUUUAAAUAUUUUACACUUAUCAUUUACUCCUCACAGUAAUUUUAUGACAAAGGUAUCACCAUCAAUGCCAUUUUACAGAUUAAGAAACUGAGGCACUGAAAAUUAAAUAGCUUUCCCAAGGUCACAUGGCUAGUAAGUGACAGAACCCAGGUGGCCCGCAGUCUGAAUCACUCUGCCAGGCUGCUUACAUCCAGGAGAACAAUAGGAGAGUUAUGCUACCUCAGAUCAGAGCUUAUCUAUGUCUAUGGAAUAUCUAUUUUUCCAUAAUAGAAAUGAUUUGAGGCUACUCUCCCUAGAGCAGUAGCCCCUCUCAGAAAUGUGAGAAUGGCAUAUUAAGUUGUUCAGGCGUAUUAUGAAAGUAUCAUGGUAACAGAUGAGAGAGAUUCAGCUCUUACAGACUUUAAUUUUUAAUUAUACUAUGUAAGCAAUAAAGAACUAUUGUGAUGAAGCAGUGUAACAAUAGACAGGCUAAUACAGAAAGUGAAAAUUUUAGUCUCAGUUAGCUACUAAGUAUGGGGCCAGCUCUCUACCUCUCCAUCCUCCAUUUCUCUACAGGGUGACAUAAGGGUUAAUAAGAUGACUGUAAAACACAUUUACUUUAUGAAGAGUCAUAAGUUCUAUUACUACUGUGAUUUUCUGAACCAUGAUAAUUCUGCUGGGAUUUCUUAUUAAGACAGCACAUAGAUAGAUGACUCCUAAGCCCAGGAAAGAAAGUGACCAAAUAAAACAUCAGCACCAUAAUGACUGAAGUGUGGACUCCAGCGGACAAUUGUGUAGUGUCCACUCUUGAUGAAGUUGAUUGUUAAUGUAGGGGCAUGAACAUCAAAUUUCCAUUAAAAACCAAGGAGAAAUGUAUGUAGCUUUGAAUCUUUCCUUCUUGGUCUCCUGGAGUCAAUUCCAAAGCAUCUUCUAAUAAAUACUAUUUGACAAUUUGUAAUUUUAUAUAAAUUUAUUUUCCUUAGAGUAUAAACAUUCAAGUCAAUUGUUAUGGCUUCCAAUUUUCAGCUUGUCUAUAUCUCAAGACAGAAUGUCCCCUCUUGACAUCUAGGGAAGCACUCUAUGGAGCACUAUGCAACCUGUACCUCACUGGAUACUAAGGCUAUCCAGCACUACUAUUUUCUCAAGUGAGCUGGGUUAAUGCAAAGAGGGGAAAAAGUGGGGCACACUUACAGGCUGCAAACUGCUGUAUAUGUAAAUCUACAAGUCCCUUCUUUUCUAGCCGCAACAUGCUGGAAGACCCUGACAUUAAAUUGAGUAGAGAAUGUCUUCACGCAGAAAAAUAGUACCACCUGUAGUCUGAACUUGUCAGGGGGUUCUGGCCCCCUUUUAGCAUUUGACCUUCAAUGAAUAAUAUAACUGAUUUAGCCCUUAGCCUGUACCAGCUGCAAAAGUGACAGAUACCUGUCAUAUUUUAGGACGGUUUAUCACCUCAGUGCCUGGAGUGAUUGCGUAUUUAUAGACACAAAGAUAGAUACAUAAAGCACAUAUGUAUAGGUAGGAGACCCCUGGAGGUGGCGAUUAGGACUAGGCAGUAAUUUUAGCUUGAAGUUCCCAUGACUUAAAUAGCCACUUGAGCUCUGCUCUUGCAGUUUACAAUGUCAAUAGAACCCCUAAAUGAAAUUACAGCCUUCUGAUACGCAGCAGGAUAUCCUUUCUUUGCCAUGCAAUGUACAUGGCCAGGAGAAAUUGCUCUGUAUAUGGAGUUUCACUAACGCAGAAUUUAUCAUAAGGCUGCUCUGCUAAAAUAUCAUUAUGCUGUUAUUCACUGGAUAACACAUCUAAUGACUCAGGGUGCACUUGAUAGCCAUGUUUCAGUGAACACAGACGCACGCCCUGAUGUGAACUGGGCACUCCAGUCCUUCAAAGCGCUAUCGAUUUCAAUUCUACCAUAAUUUACACCUGGCUUGUUUUGCCAAUAGCUUGAACCCUUGCUAAGACUGGAACAUACACACACAAGUAGUAGAGAAAUCAGAAAUGAACUGUAUAGCAAAAAUGCAUGCAGCAAACUUUCCAAGAUUCUGCCUUUAUAAUAAUCUCCCUUGAUGCUAAUUAAAUACUCUGCACGACUUUCUCUGUUAUGUUUGAGCAUUUUCCCUGUUAGCACUGUCCCAUGUUUGGUGGUGACAGUAAUAAUAACCUCUUAUAUUUGUACAAACUGUGGGUACUUCCGAGGUGGCAUCUGAGUGCCAGUCAUCUUGGUUCCUCCACCUACCUAGCACAAUGGCUGGCACAUAAUAGUUGCUCAUACUAUUCUUCUCUAAGGCUCCUCUUCCUCUCUCUGUUCCAUAAACAUGUGGACACCAAGGAUCUGCUCCCUUUUGCUGUCAAUAUAGUUUCCUUGAGAAAAGUCCACUCCAUGAUUUUAACUACUACCAUGAUGCUGACAAUUCAGAUGACUGCCAAACUUAUCUCUAACCUUGACCUACCUCCAGCUUUCCUGAGCAAAUCCAACAGCUUACCAGACAUGGGUCUGGAUGCUCCCCCAAUAUCUCAAAAUUAACACAUUCAAAAGCAAAUUUAGCAUCUCCCACCCACCCUACAAAACCUGCUUCUUCUCCUCAUAGCUUUUCUUACUUAGUUGUAUAAGGCAGAAACCUGGGAGCAAUCCAAAAUUCCUUCUUCUCUCGAUGCCCAGCCCAAAGGUUAUUAAAUCGUGUCCAUUCUGCCUCUUAUCUCUUGAAUGUGUCUCCUCCUUUCUAUUCCCAGAGUCGUUGUCCUAGUUCAGGGCUUCAUUGUUUCCUGUCUGAACAAUUUCAGUUGCCUCCUAACUCAUUUUCCUGCCUCUAUUCUCCCAUUCCUCCAAUCUUUCCUCCACCCGGCUGCCAGGGUGAGCUUCUAUAACACAGUUUGAUCAUUAACCUUCUCUACUUAAAACCUUUCAAUGGCUCCCCAAAUGCCACAAGAUGAAGUUAAAACUUCUUUGUAUGGCAAUCAAGGCCCAACAUGAUUGUUCCCUGCUUGCAUCUACAGCAUCAUUUCUCCCCACUCCUCUACUAAACAUCAGUGAUACUGGUCCCCAACUCUGCCAUGCUAUUUCCUAUUUAAGGGUCUUUGCCCCUGCUGGUCCUCUUACUGAAUGCUUUUCCUCCCUCUGACCAUCUGGGAAAAUCCUUUAAGGCCCAGGAUAGAUUUAUUAGCUCUUCUUUGAAGCUUUCCCUGAGCUUCUACCCAAGGUACAUUCAGCUGAACACUCACUAUUUUGUGCUCCAAGGUUCCUUAAAUAUCCCUCUAUUAUGAUGCGUGGCACAUGGCAUUAUCCCAAUUUGUUUCCCUAUCUAUCUCUCCUCUAGCGACCAACCUGAGGUCAUGUCUUAUUCAUCUUCCCAUGGUCAAAGACAAAGUCAAAACCUUCAUAGCAGCAUAUAAAGGCCUAUGUGCUCAGACCCCCACUGCCUCCUCAACAUCAUCUCCAACCAUUCUUCUGCUUACCCACUGUGAUCCUGCCAUAUAGACUUGCUUGUUAUCGCUCAGACCUACUAGAUACAUUCUUGUCCAGGGCCUUUGCAUCUGGUGGUUCCACUGCCAAAAAUGCUCUUGCCUAGAUAUCCACAAAACUUGCCUUUUCAUCUUUCUCAAAUGUUGUCCCCUCAGUGAGGCUUUCCUUCUAUAUCCAGUUUAAAAUGCAACCUUAACCCUGACACACACACACUUCUCUCUCUCAAUCCCUCUCUCUUUUCUCUCUGCUCCUUCACUGUUCUCCACAGCACUUAUCACUACCCAACAUGCUGUAUAUCUUACAUUUUUCUCCCUUGCCUAAAAAGUAGGCAUUAUGAGAACAGAGACUUCUCCUUGUUUUGUUUACUGUAGUAUCCCAGCCCAGUGCCAGGUAUAUAGCAUGUGCUCCUCAAUAAAUAUUCUUGAAUAAGUGAAUCAAUCUUUAGCUUCUAGAAUAAUACCUGACCCAGAGUAUGGGUUCAAAAAUGUUUCUUGAAUAAAUAAAUAAAUAACUUAAUGUUAAAUCCAUGUUUAAUGAAUGUAAUGAAGAAACAGUCUUUGUAAUCUGAUCCUCAUAACACUGAUGAGUAAGUCGAAUGGGUACUGUUAUUCACAUUAGAAGAAUGAAGUUGGUGAGUCCUAGAAAGGUUAGGAGCCUACGUUAAGGCUAUAUGGGUUGUUUAAAGUCUACUAUUUGUUUCAAUUCACUAUUAAAAGGUAGAGACAAUUCUCUGUACUCUGUUCCUGAUGCAGCUCUAACAUUUAUUACUUUAUUUUGAUUCCUCUUGACUAGAAAGGCAAUUAGCAGGAGGUGCAAGGUGCUAAUACUUUUUAUUACAAUUUGUGUCUUUCCUUAUUAGGCGCUUUUCAUAAAACAGAUCCUUUUCUUUCAUUUUCAAAAGUGGAUUAGGCACUCAUACAAUUUUACCCCUCAGAGUGGUUUGUACAUGACUACCCCUGAGGAUGUCAUGCUACAAAUCCUGCCAGAAUGAACUGGAAGGUGUGUGGCAUUUGUAGCUUGAGGAUGAACAGGUUGUUUAGUGCCAAGUUUGUGCUAAUGGAGAUGUCCUCUACGUGUUAACACCCAAAGGAGAACAAAUUCAACAACAAAACAUCUCGGUUUUUGGCAUGUCUAUGGAGAGUUAACUUUACAUUGUUCAAGGGUUAAUUAUCCAUUAUGUGAAUCAUUUCUCUUUCUCCCUCUGGCUGCUUACAUCUAGGAAUUCAGUCUACUAGAGGAUAAGUAGGGAAAAUAAAGAGAUGAGAAUGAAACUAGUCCAUUUUAUUUAUAUUAGAAGCUCCAGAAAAGAAUUCAGUAUAAGAGGCAGAAUUAUAUCUAGUUUGGGACUUGCCAAGUUGAUUGACCAAUGAUAACAGACGUAAUUAAAGCAUAUUUUACAAAUAUUUUGGUUUCUUUUAAUUACUGCUUAUUGGGGUCAGUUUGUAGUAUAUAAAGUUACUCCUUAGAUGUGACUCAUGUCAGCAGGGUACCAUUUAGGAUGCUGGAAAAGGCCCCUUUCCUCCAACAUUCCCAGAGCACUGAAGGUGCCUUAACGUGUAACAGCUUAAUGACUGAAGCAACACCAAGUGAUCCCACCAAUGUCUCUACUCAUCCAUGAGGAACAAUUGCACUUGGCUAUUUUCAGCUAUUAUUUGUCUAAAACGGGGCAUUUAAUUAGUGCUUGUUAAGAUAAUGCGAAUGAUUUGGCUGCCUGUCCUCUUGCCCCUCUCUUUAUUAUGCUGUCUGUCUGUCCUGCCCCUUCUCUGUCGAGUUCACUGGGCAUUCUCAGGCAGUCUUCAUGUCUUACAAAAUCUGACAUCAGCCUGAACUCCUUGAAUGUUGAGUUUGAGGAAAGGAAGAGCCACUGACUGACUGUAAGCAAGUAUUGACAAGCUGGACAGGCCUUUGGUCAAUGUGAUACGUUAUAGGUGAGUCUGGUACUUUCAGAUUUUGCGCAAGCAGACCAAGCUGGCUAUUUGGCCAACUUCACAAGUCCUCAAAAAUGAAUGGACUCACUGCAAGCUCAAGAACCUAUGUCCCAGCAGAAAUCACCUGAGCUUUGUGGGGAUUCGAGAAGCUACCUUGGCAAAGGGCUGGAGAUGCUGACAGCUAGUUGGAAGAUCUAAUACGGGAGUUUAAGGGGCUCACACAUAGAAAAAUCUACUGAAUUGUUUUCUGGACAUAUUUGUUCCAUUAUGAUAAGCAAAAUAUACUCACUGUCAAUGCAUUGACAUAUAGAUAUUCAUUCGUCACCUAUUCAUUAAUCUUCCACUCAGUCUGAGGCAAUUUGACAUUGGUUGGGAAGGAGAUAAACGUAAAAUGCAGUACUUGCUCACUAAUCACUUGUAGUUUCAUACAUACAAAAACCUUCCAUUCAAAGCAGUAUAUAUAAGUGCCAAGUGAACGCUGUAGAUUUUUAAAAUGCUAUCAAUGUCAGAAAGGGAAGUUCACUUUUAGUUUGGUUUAUCAUGGAAAGCUUCAGAGAAAUAAGUGUGACUCGACAAGGAUAUGACGCGGCUGGGUAUCUUGAAAAGGUGUCUGGAGGGUUGUAGUUGCUGAUGCUGAUAUGUAAACACAGCAUCAAAGUAUUUAAACUACAACUAAACAACUGAGAAACUAGAAUAAACUGGGUCAUUUGUACACAAAUUCAUUUUUACAAAAUAAAGUGAAUUCAUUAAAUAUAUUCUCAAAUUUAAUAUAAUUAAUAGCAAUUUAAUUUAUUUCUACUUAAUUUUAACUACUUUCUACAUAUAGCAAUUACUAUUGUGAAGUUGUGCAUAACAGAAUUUAGGCUUAUAAUCUAACAUGGAUAUUUGAUAAAGGAUGAUUACCAAUUCUAUCAGCUAACCAAUCUUAUUGCAAAAACUGUUCAUAAUAUUUGCAUAAAAUUUCUGUAUUGUCAGCGUGAUAAAAUGUUAACUAUAAUUCACCUUUGGUCAACUUGAAAACCAUUUGACUGAAUUCAAAGACAAGUAAGCCUAGCUAGUAUUUGGUUAUAUUUUUAAUAGCUCAAUAUAGUUAUGUGAUUAUGCAAGUAUAUAUGUAUUUACAAGCUAACAUACAUACAUAAUCACAUGAUACAGUGAAUCAACCCCUUAUUUUUAACUUUUAAAAUAUCUAUCUUUUAAAAGCAAUCACAUAAAUAUCAAAAAGCAUUUUCAUACAAAUAAGAAAGAAUAACUUCCUAUUGGGAAAAUUGUAAUUCUGUUAUUUAGCAAUGUUGUUUGUGCCUAAUUGUGAUUGUCUAGUUAAAUGAAUAUAACAUAUAGAAAGUGCUGACAGCUAAAAUGUACAUCCAAGAAAAUAUACAUUUUACAACACGCAUCCUCUAAAAUGAAACUAAAAUUUUCAGAAUGAGCAGUAGAAAAUUGAAUUAUUGAUAGGACACUAUGAAACUUUAUAAUAUAGGCAUUGAAAAAAUCAGAUAAUAUUCAUACAGCCAUUUAAGCAGGAAAAAAUGCAUCAUUAUGUUGCCUCUCUGUCAGAGGUGUACUGAUCAAAUUCUGACUUAUUUACUCCAAUUUAGCCAUGGAAUUCUUCCAUGGCUACGUGGAACUCCAGAUCUUGGAAACAAUAAGGAAAACUUCUCUGACAGGUUAUAUUUUUAAAAUGUCAUCUUUUGGGAUAUAGUCUUAGAUAUUUGUGUUUACCUAUUCUCUGCUUAAAAAUGCUUACAACAUUUUGUACAUAGAUGUAUGAGAUUUCAAUAAUAAAGUGUUUUCAAAGUGUUAGCGAUCCAGCUUGCCUUCACUGCAGUCCUAAUUGACAUCCCUACCAGAGACUAACAGACACUUCUCUCAGGAGUGUGUGCAGCCUGAGCGCUAACUGAGGGAGGCACAGCCUCCUUUGUAGGUCUUGGUAAUAAUGCGCUAAAAGCUAGUUACAUUUUUUAUACCAUAUUUUUAAAACUUUACACUAUUUUCCAUUCAACUUCUUCCUUUAGCAAACAAGAAAACUAAUGGAAAAAUCUCCGAGAAACAUUAUACGUACAAAUAGAAUGGCCAUAACCAACAUUCCUAACUGAAAUAGGGAAACUUUACCAUUACAUACCAUUACAUUUUUAGCGUACUGGCCCUAAUCAAACUGGAGACUGCUUCCUAGCACAAUGACAGCUGAGGAAUCUGAUGUGCCUUGCAAACUAUAGAAGUUGUGGUAGGAAGCUGAUUCUUUGUUCUGGAGGUCACUGACAGACUCUGAUGAGGCUGGAGCAGGAGUCAGUCUCUGCAGGGAGCUUGGGAUAUGUGAACAUGCGUGAGUUCUAUGGCGAAGAAUCUGAAUUGCCCAGAGCAGCAAACAAAAUUCCAAAACUAAGUAUCAAUGUAACAUGUUGGGUGACUGCACCAGCUUGGACGGGAGCACAAGACACAGCUGGUUAAAUGUAAAAUCAACUAUUGCCAAAGCAUUUUCAACUUCUAGGAGAAAUUUAUUGUCAAUGUGUUAACAGCAAGGACAAGUAAAACAAUAAAACAGCAUCUCUCUUUCCAAAUAUUUAAGGACAUCGAGUAAGUGCCCCUUAGGCCGGGUUGUGGUUCUUGGAAGUUGCAGCCUAUGAGAACCAUAUUGGGGACAUCAAAGACUCCUCCCUCUGUCCAAAGCACAAUUCACUUCAGAUGCUGCCAUACAGUCAAAUGCUUUUAUGGCCACCAUGGGUUUUUGCUUUUUUGUUUUUUCCACUCUUAAUAUUUUGGAACAUGCCAGAUUCUUAAAAUUGAAAGGAAGACAAGAAAACACGUUAAGAUCAAAUACCUCUGGGAGAACAACUAAGUAGGGACCCGAUGGUAAAGGACAAAUACACAUUCCACUGAAAUUCGACUUCCAGGGAGAGUGUGAGCUAUUAACAAGGACAUGGAAGGCACAUAUUGGCUCUGAAAGUUGGUCUGUUGACUCGUCUGCUAGUUUCAUAUCAGACAGGAUGCAACUACCCCCAUUCCACUCCUUUGACAACAUCCCAUAGCACACUUGAUCAGUCUCUUAUAGUGAGGACAAUCCUACAUUUGGGUUUAAUACUGUGAGGACAGCCAUCUAGUUUUCCUAUGUCAGAAUGAUAAAUUUCCCAGGAACCAAAUAAGGAUUCUCAUUGCAUGUUUCUGUUCGAUACCAUGAAUGCGGAAGAAUAAAGAAGAGGGUGUGACAAAUAAUAUUUUCCAAAGGUCGGGUGGAGGGAGGUUCCCAAACAUUUAAAAGCAACCAGUUCUUAGCAAAGUGGUCUUCAGAAGAACAGUAUUAAAGGUAUUCUUUUGCUUUGCAUCCACUUUUCUUUCCUGCUUAGCUGGGUAUGGAAGCAUUCUGAGCAUAAUGUAAAUGCUCAGAACAGAGAUGCAUGAAGUUGGUAGAGAGAAACUCCAAAGGAACGACGAAUCCCACUUUCACUUCCCCCUCCUACCACCCCGAACACUACCUCCCCCCACACUCACUCACCUAUCUUCCUCCUCCCACAAGCGUGUUUCUAGGCAUGUCAAGGCUGACAUCCAUCGGUGGCAGCAGGAAACCUAUGCCUGCAGGGUCGUCCUGAGCAUAGACUCAAGGCUCUGCCAUUGUCCAUGGAGCGCUCUCAGCUGUGCACACUAAAAUCUUCAUCAUUCUGUUAGAUUGUUUGGUAGCUUUUUUUAAAAAAAUGUAUCUUUUUUCUUUAAAAACACCCUUUAUUUCCUGACUGCUUCAGAGCCACCAAGAAUAGAAUCCUUGACACAUCAAAUUCUGGAACCUCACCACUCACCAGGACUGUGGUUCCUGAUCCAAGGAGUGUCGACUGAGAGUCAGCACAGCCUCUUGAGAGUGUCCAGGCCUGGCUGCUAAGCUCCCUGCUCUGAUUAGCUUGUCGAGUUCACAGUGUUCCAGAGUGCUGAAGCCCAGAAAUUAGGGAGGGGAGGUGGAAGGAAAAUCACUGGAGCCUCUUGCGAUCUAACUUCCACUAACUGAGAGGAAAUGUCUUAUAAAUAAACAACAGCAAGAGAAACAAAAAAAAACCCAUCCCGUCCUGCCAGAGGAAUGUACAUUAUUGUCUCCCGACGGAAAACUUUACACCACACUCAAAAUGCAGCCAUGUCUCCUGAAACUACCUCCCUCAAAACAGAAAGGAAAAGAGAAUCAAGAAGAAAAGGAGAACAAAAAAAGAUUUUUUUCAUCCCCUUGAAUUCUGUUGGCAAGUUCAUGUGAGUUCCCAGUAGACAAACUAAACCAGCAGUUUCAACAGUGUCACUGUUCCAGGAUUUCUUGCGGAGGCUGCUUAUUAGCAAAAUUUCAUUUCUGCCCAGAUCAUUGCUGUGCCAUCCGGACAUUUUCAGAAGGGAAGUUCAGGGAAGGGGGGAGGGUGCGACUGUGGAGGAGAGGAAGAAGAGAGGACAAAGGAACGCUCCUGAUGAACCGGAAUGCCCUAGCCACGGCCAUGAGAACGCGAGCCCCCUCCCGCCACCCACCUACUGCUUGUUGAGGACUUGGUGAUGCGAUGUGUUUAAUCUACUUACUCUUUCUGCUCGGGAGGCUGAGGUUCCUACAUUUCCAGCUCAUGCUGGACUGUACCGUAAGCAACAAGUGAAAUGAGUUCAGUGAUCUCAUUCUAGUCCUUCGACUCCUGUCCACAUCGCUAAGCGACUGCACAGCUUGGCACAGGCCAGGAUGAGUCAGCAGUCUCUGGUCAUGAGAGGCCAGGCCUGGAAUAGCAGGGGGGUUUAGGUCAGGAGCAAAACGAAGCAGAAAGGCAGUCUAGAUGGCAGAGCUCGGCUGUGCAGCACACAGAUACUGCAGGUCAAAAUGACAGAGGCUCAUCAGCUCUGGAGUGAAGACCGUGGGAUUAUAGAAAAAGGAACAGCAAGAGAAACACUUAGAACAGCUGCCUACCAAACAUAGCAAGAACAAAUUAGAGUACCACGGUCAGAAAAAGAGGGCAUGGUAGAGCCCUGGAGGAGAAAAGAUGCUCAUUAAGAUUUCUGGGAUACCUUUUCUUCCAUGUGCUCCCAAGCUUGAUUUAAGAAAUGGUGGUUACCUGUAGACUAUUCUGGUAUUUUGGUACUGCCUUCCCAAUUUGGUAAGUAGCAAAACAAACACAUAAAAGCAAAGCACUGCAGUUAAACAGCAAGAAGCAGCCUCAUAUUCCACAAAGUAAUGCAAUUAUAAGUAAAAGCUUAAUAUCUCAAAGAUGUCAUUUGGGUCAAUAGUGUCCCUGGAUAGCCUGAAAAAUACUGGCCACAAAAUGGUUAAAGAGAAGCACUCCUUAAAUUGAGCUUGGGUGGUGGUAGAGAAGAGCUAAGAGAAAAGAGAGGCACAAGUUCCACGAUGAAACAGAAGGGAAACAGGACACUGUCUCCACAUUUCUACUCAAAGGAGUCAGCACAGACCUCCACCAAGAAGGGACACUUCCUACCAACAGGACUUUCAAACACCUCUCCCUGUGUAGUAGUAUUGCAAUGUAGCAAGAGAAGAGGGAAAAUAAAAUAGAGGGAAAAACCAGGUUCAAGAUGAAAAAUAAAUCAGUAACAGACAUUUUGGUUUGGAAGAGGCAAAUUGCCCUCUAAGCCAACUGAUAAAGAAAAGUCUUAGUAUCCGAAACAAACUGAGGGGAACCAUGUCUAGAUAAGGAAGCUGGGAUGGAGCCUGAGAGCCAGCACCAAAUAGUAGCGACGGCCCCAAAAUAAGGGAGAAAGCGGUUUCAAGUCAGAGUGUGCAGCAAGAAUGGCAUGGAAAAGAGAAUAAAAUCAACAGGGUUGGGACACACUAGUAAAAGAUGUCUUUAAAGUUCUUUGAAGAGGAACAAUAAGGACUCACUAUAUAUUCCUAAUUGUUUCCACUUAGGGAUGCACAGAUAUGUAAGCUGUGUAAGAAAACGUAGAGUAAAUUUUAUAUAUUUUUCAUUCCAGAGAGUAUUAAAUCAUCUCAACAUAUCUUUAAUAAGUACUUCACCUUGGGCAAAUGGACUUUCUAGCCUCAGUUUUCUUCUCUUUGAAAUGGAAUAAUGUCACCCUAUUUGAAUUAUUAUAAGGACUGAAUCAGUGUUUGUCAAUUCUUAUCACAGCAGUAUCUGCCACAUGGUGAGCACUCAAUAAAUUGCUACUAUUUUUAUUUGAUUAUUAAAUCAUCUUCAUAAGUGCCCAGUGAAAGAAUCAUUUCCAGUGUCGUUCCACUGGAUUGAGGGGAGCCAACAUGAAGACUCUAGUAAAAUCAGUUGAGUAGCAGUCCUCAGAGAAUGCUGCUUUAAAAAGCUUAUUUCUGUCUGGAUAUGUUGAACAUCAUACUUGAACACAGAGCACGUUGAAAAUCUAUUAUGGAAAAAUCUUGAUUUGGGGUAUCUAUGUUGUCAAAGCAGCUUGGAGCUUAACAGUGUCCAGCAACUAGAGGCCUAAAAAAGAAAAGAGGGAUUUUUAGAAGCUUCUCCAAAAGCAACAGGAUAAAAGCGCUAUUGGCCUUGACCGCAUGAUGAGGGUUUUUACCAAAGGGGAAAACUUAGUCCAGUUGAUCAUCCAGCCUAAUUGAUUAAUUGUGGGUCUGACCAUCUGGCUGAUGAAUGCUGACACCCAGCAGUGAUUACUGUGUAACACAAAUCCGGAUGUGCUCUCCCCGAUGCCUCCCACAAUAAUGGCAACUCUGAACUUAAGGUUAGUUUAUUCAGGCUGCUUGGCUCAAUCUCUUCAUGGAACAGUGGUUGUGGCAGGGAAUAUUUUACUAGACCUGGUCAAGCAUUAUCUUCUCUUAUUUCAGUUACCCACUCCUUUCCAACUCUACGCCUACCCACUCCUGAGUCCUCUCUUGUAUAUAAUCACUUUCCAUGCAAAGCAUUCCAUCUGUAGUUUUCAUCAUACUGUCUGAUUCUCUCAUUUCCGGUUGCUCUAUUCUGAAAAAUAUUUGACUGGUCUAAAAGACCUGUACUGCUAUUUCAAAGAGGAUCCUAUUGAGACAUUUUUAUUGUAUCUUCUUUGCUACUGGUUUACUUCACAUCACUCUGUGCUUCCAAAUAAAGAAAAUUAUUUUACCUAACUCACGGGCCUGAUUAAAAGGAUCACAUACGGCCCAAGUUCUCCAUGAGGUUAACAGAACAUGAGGGUUAAAAGAAGAUAAUUCUUGCUUCUUAAACCUCCAUCUGAUCCUCAGUUAGGGUGUGCCAUGGAGAAGAGAUUCUCCCCAUGAGGACUCUGGAGCACAUUUCACUGCUAGAGAAAGUCAGGCUUAUGUAAAUAACAGGGAUCAACAGCAACGCCACCCACAAACCAAUAUACACCUGGAGAUAACCUGUAUGCUGGAGAAUUCUCUAAGCAAAUCAAAUCUGAAUGCAUAAAUAUAAACCCUGGGGAAUUACAACCAAAUUAUUUGAUUAUUUUUGGGGGAAGGCACGGGAGAGUAAACUGAUAAAAUAUGUUGCACAAGCUUGACCAGCAACCCAUAAUGAAGGAGAAUCCUCCAUCUCACCUCUCCUUUCCCCCGACUGAUUUCCAUCUCAAGAUUCACCAUUUUUCUUGCUCCCCACAUAAGCUGAAUUCUUCUAUGUUCCAGGCUGGGUUAGUGUUAAUUUUCAGUAGAGGAUGGCAGCAGCAUGCCGAAUGACAGAGUUCCAGACUGGGAGUUGGGAAAUGCUUUUGGCCUGACUGUCAGUAAACAACUAUGUGUCUAGGGCAAGUCAAGUCCCUUAACUCCCCAUGUCUCAGUCUCUUCAUUGAAAAAUGAUAGGGUAGGACCGCAUGAGCUCCAUAGUCUGUGCCAACACCAAGAUUCUAUGGUUCUAUAGCUCAUUUCCUUUUUCUCUCUGGCAUCCACUGCUCAACAACUCUGUGUAUAGUCAUUUCUCUGUUCUCAGUUACGGAGGGAAAAAUAUCUCCAUUUACUCCCCGGUAUUUGGUAUUUGUAACCUCUCUCUCGUUUUUUGAUACUAGAUAUUUUGAGUCAUAAACAUGAACAUAUCCAGAUAGAUGCUUUAACUUUGAAGGCAUUUAAGGAGAAUAGCUUUCCCAUGUAGAGUAUUCAGUGUAGCUCGGCAUGGAGGAAGCCAGCCAUCCAAAAGUGGAGCAGAGGGGCCAAUUCACAAAUGAGAGGAAGCUUUUCAUAAUAAGAGUCUCCAGACUCUUCAGUUUAGAGAAAGCUCAAAUGCUACCAAAUUCCAGCUACUUUUCCACUCAAUCCCAGACACCAUCACAGACACUUAGGACUACAAAUUUGAGGACCAGCUCUGGCAGGGAUGCAGUUCUUAUUUCACCUCCACCACGGAUUGCCAAGUAGGAUUUAGGAUGGCAUGGUAAUAAGAGCCAAGAGGACAAUCUGUCAUUUAUUUUCCUCCAAACUUUUCGAAAUUCCCCAUUUGGGCUCUGUUUCCCAGUUUUAAUUUGGUAACUGCCAUUUUUCAGCAUUUCUUUUAACAGGUUACUAAUAAUUUCUGAUACAGGAUCUCAUAUUUCAUUUUGUGCUGCUAGAACUGCUGUUAAUAUUUCAUCUGCCUUCAAUUCAGCUCUGAAUAAAGGCUGCUGGGUUUUUGAUACACUGUUAACACUUUGGUUCUGGGCAUUUGAUCACCAGAGUUCCCCACUUUGUCCAUAUCUUGUUAGGUAGGAGUAAUCGACUGCCUGUCUCGGAAAUAGGUCAGGGUGUGCUAUACAUCCUAGGGAUAGUUCAGAGUUUCUUUUUCUGGAUCUUUGAUGAAAACAACAAGAACAAGUAUUCUGUGUUUGUUCUGCCAGGUAACUUGCUAUUUGCUUCAGUGGUAGUGUUCUGGAAGCAGAGUGCAGUGGCUCACAGGCAGACCUAGGUUCCAAUUCUGGCUCUGAAACGUACCACACGUACUGAGUGAGGCCAGUUCCUUAACCUUCUGGGGCCUGUUUUUCCAUUUGUAAAACACAGAUAAUAACAGCAUCUCCCUCUAUUGCUAUGAGGAUUCACCAAAUUAACGUAAGGUGCUGAGGAGUUUCUGAGUUCUCAGUAAAUGAUGGGUAUCAUAUUACCCUAGCAUUGAGAAUCUACAAAUCCACAUUAUAGUGCUAUUAUUUUGCAACAGCUUUUCAAGGCCCACAAAUUACUUUUGAGUCGAGACUUUUGUUGUUUGCUUUGCUAUAGUUUAGAUUUUAAAAAACGCUCAGUGAAACCAAGUAAAAUAUUUAAAAAUUGGUCCUUAAAGUCAUAUAUUCAGUUAAAAACAGUAUAUAGCAUCAUAUUAUUAUGUCACCUUUCAAUCUAGCAUCAAAUUCUCACAACUUUUUGUUCAUCUAACAGCCAGACCUAGAUAAGACACGUUGUGCCACUGCUAAUUAAUUCCAUAAAGAGAAGACUUAUCAUAUUUGCUUUCCCCUACUCCCAAAGAAUACAGAUUAUUUUAAUAUUGUUCAGUUAUGUAUCAGUCAGGGUCCAUCAGGAGAGAGAAACCACGCACCAAUUUGAACAGGAAAAGUUUAAUAUAAAGAAUUAUUAACUGUAACAGGGGAUUGAAGUAAUGAGGGAGUAGCUAGUAAGAAGUAAAGAGAAUUCUAAAUUGUGUAAGAAUAGGCAAAUAGAAGGAGCAAGUGCUACUUGUAGGGCUGAGACAGAGUGCCCAGGGAAGAGGCCCCUCCACCCUUGGAUGGGGAUCCAGAUCAUUGAGGACCAGGCACAGCCACUGAGGGAGUGAACGGCAGAGAAAUUGCUGGGCAGCUGUAUCAGAACUUGCGGGAGAUCUGUAUUCUAGGGUGCCAGGAAAGCUGUUCACAGGGAGGUGUCUCAUCCGAGGCAUGCUGCUACAUAAACCACCCAGUGUGUGUAUGUGUGUGUCUAUGUGUGUGGGUGUGUGGUGCAUGCCUGCGUGCGUGGUGGGUGCUGGAGAAAGCGGCUGGCCCCAGGCACUGGAGAAGCUACCAAGGCAUGUGCGUGCUGCAGGAGCCAGGCCCUGGAGAAACCACGCACACUGCAGGCGCCUGCCAAAAGAGUACAUGGUAACCAGGAAAAAACCCCCCUCCUCCUGUAACGUCUCUCCAAACACUCCACUGACAAAGUACACUCACACCAGCCAGGAAAGGGAAAAUAUUUAAAGGACCCAGACACAUUUUUGUAGAGAAGGCAAGGAAGGGCAAAUUAGGAUUUGACAGGCAACACAUUGAUAAUUGGCACAGUUACCAUUAUUUGCUCACACACUUUAUGAAAUAACUCUCUUUGGAGAUUACAAUCUAGUGUUCUCAACUUACUAGACUACUGUUCAUCUUUAUUAAUAAAUUGACUCUCUGCAUAGCUAAAUAAAUAGUCAGAAUUAAGGAAAAUAAGAUUCUUUUAAAUAAAAGUAGCAAUACUGGUAUUUGUAUAAGAAUGUUUUCCCCAAAGUGCUGCCAACAUGUUUUAAUUGUUUAAAAUUUACAAAUUACCCAGAAAAUGUGCACAGAAAUACUAAACUAUUGAUGUCAAUUUAUGCAUCAGUGAUCCCAGUCCAGAUUUCAACUAAGUGGAUAAUCAGGAGAGUCAUUGCAAGCAAUCCAUAGCUUCAAGAGGUAAAAAUCGCCCCAGUAAUCAUUUUUCCUUUUUCUCUCCUUUUUUUUAAUUAAAUCUAGAACCCAUGUUUUGCUGUUCUAUGACUCAUUUUGGGGAGGCUGUUAAUUCCAGUUGCUAUUUUUCAGAAAAAUAUAUCAUAUAUUACUAGAGAAUCUUUCCUAUGCUCCCUAUCCUAUAUUGUUCUACCCUCAAUAUUAAAUAGACAAGCAUCAGUAAAUGACCAACUUGGUGCAUUCCUCAAGGUAUAUGGUGACAUUGUUAGAAUUGGUUUUACAUAUCGAUGGGGAGGGAGAUGCCAAAAUAUCGCCUGUGUUUUUGCUCAAUUCCUUUAAGAAGGGGACAGAAACUUUUACUCUAUAAUUAGAGGUGGGGUUUUAAAACACAAACCCUUGACACUACAAAAGGUGGUGGUGAGAGGCUGAGAGCACAGAGAGAAACUGAAUGAGAAGGUCCUGUGGAAGGAAGUCCUGUGAGGCUAAGACCCCGAAGCCCCCAUCUCACCCGUGCAUCUGUUUUUACCUAUGCCUGGCCAUGAGCAGCACUGACUGUCCUCGCUAUUAUGGAAGGGGUCUACCUGUUUCCUUACAGUUGUGUUUUCUGAAAACCAGUGUUAUUAGCAAGCAAGGCAAGCCUUGUAGGGCUGUCUCACAACCAUACCGUAGGCAUCCUUGCCAGCUGCGGCACUUGUCUUUAGGAUUUACUUUUGUUUGUGUUGUGUCUAAGGACUGAGGAUGAACCUAAUGAUUCUACCUACAUUUGAUCCCCACCUUGCCAACAAACACAUACACACACUGCUCCCUUGGCAUUGCUGAGUCCAAAAGGAGAUGAUGACAAAGGAGUGUCAUAAGUCCACAGAAUCAGGCAGGCAAGUCCGUUUUAUUUUAGUCUGCCCUUCUGUUCAGCUGGCUUUUCUGCUCUGACCCACUAUACUUACCCUGUCGGCUGCUCUUACUAGCAACAUGCCUUUUUAAUCAGCCUUCCUGGGGUCUGCAUUUGAUUACAGCAUUUGUGUUCUAUUUUGAUUCUUUUGUACUGUGCCCUGUGGUGUUAGCUUGAAAGGUGUUAUUUAUAAAAUGAAAUUCUAUUGUAUUGCCACUUGGAUUCAAAGAGGACAUAUAAUAUUAAUGCAGAAUGUAUUUAAUAAUAUCUUGAAUCUAUUACAUCAAUUUCUUCAUGAGAAUGCAGUAUGGGAGAGGGAGGCAAGUGGGUUGGUAACCAGGUAGUAAGACUUAAGAAUCACCUGAACUUCCCUUCUCAAGCACACAUGAAAGCUGGCACAAGGAUUGUUCUCUUAACCUCAGGGUUUCUAGAAGGAGGAGACUGUCUUUCCUCAGCCAGACCAGUGCAGCAUGCACCUGUUUAAACAUACAACUGUGAAGGCUAAACAGUGUCCUAAGCCUCAGUUGCAAAUCUUUUGACUAAGGAAACCAUGAGAUGAAAGAGGGAUAUGACUUUUUCACUCCCUAGGAAGACUUAGGCAAAGAAGGAAAUAUAGUCACCUGUUUCCAAGGGGCUGCUUGCAAGAUUUGUAAAAAGAAGUAAAUUUCCUAUGCUCCUGACUCUUCUCAAAGGCAGGCUAAGAAAAUUCCAGCUAUAUACUAAGAACCAAGGCAGAGUUUCCAGGGGGGCAUGUUCAGAAUGUUCUCACCUACUGAAAGUGCAGGUUUCUUUACGGCUGCUGGGCCUCUAGUCAAUGUUUAUGGAUUAGAUUGAUGGAGGAGUCCCCAACUUUUCUUCACUUCUAGUUUAAUGCAAACCAAAGACUGUAACGUUAUAUCACUGUAUCACAGCUUGCACAUCACAUCUGUUGCUGCACACAUUCCAUUCUUCCCCUACAUUUCUUUUUCCUGUUGAUAGGUCUGAAAUCAUCAAUGACUCAGCCGCUGUUUGGGAAUAAGGAAGGGUCAGGUGUAGAAGCUGGUUUAGCAAUCAGGCUCUGCAGAACUUGCUAGAAGAAACUGUCACACACAAAGGGAGCUGGCUGAGUAGUUCUGGAGAGUGCCUAGAUUGCCACCUGUUCUCGCUCACUGGAUCGUUAUUAACUCCAGAAAACUCAGGGUCCAGUUUUCUAAUCACUAAAUUAUAGUGAUUAAAAGUGGGAAUAUUAUAUUAAUAUUAAUAUACAACAUAUUAUAUUAUAUAUUCCCACUUUAGUGGGAAUAACUAUAUUUAUCCUUUUCUACAUGCACUAGGCUUCUUUAGGGAUGAAUGAGAUAAGGGUUCUGGAAUGCUCUGAAUUCUUUGCAAUGAAGGUGGGAUACAAAUGCACAAUAUUACUAAAAUGAUAGUUCAGACUCCUCUUUUGAUUCUCUAAAUCCAUAUGAGAAACACUAACAAAUGAACGAAUUUCCACCCUUCUGGGAAUAAAUCAUAUACCCUCAUUCAUAAACGACAUCCCAAACAUAAGAAGCUAAGAUGUGUUGGGAAACACACAUCUCAAUCUUGAAUGCAUCAAAUUAUAAACUACUUGCAUAAAAAGAUCACAUUAUUCAUCUCUGCAACCAUCCAGGUCCUCCCAUAUUGAUUUGCACUAAGUAUCCCAUUAACAUUUGUUGAAUUGAACUGAAAAAUGAGAGCAUACAAUUUUAGAGUGGAAAGUAGCUAGAGAUCGUGUAAGGCCAGUUACCCCAUUUUGCAGAUAAUAAAACUGAUGCCCAGAUAAAUUAAGUAAUUUAUCCAGGUGCUAUAUUAAUAACGUUACAAGUCUUUUGAGGAGUUGUUAAAAUCUGCCACUGAAAAUAUAUCCCUCAAUCAAUUAAAACAAAACAGAUGUUCUUUUGUCAAAAUAAGAAGUACUCUUCAGCUCAAAUAAUCUGAAGUAUUCUAAUCCAACCAGGGAGGCUGAAGCCUAAAGAAAGAAGUAAACCUCACUAAAUGUCUACAGACCAUACGAGUGCUAGAAAUGCCAAGUCACGGAGGUUGCACAUUUCUACACUGUGCCUAUCCCCCAGUCCACUGGCAUAUUUUUCAGGUAAAAUUAAGGUCGUGAAAACAAAAAGUAAUGUCAAAUCUUUGAAAUUAUGUGGGAUUCAUGGAAGCGCAAUUCAAAAAUGAAAUUACUUUCAUUUAUUAUUUCAGUCCACUAUUAAGCCAUAUCGUUGACUGUAAGACAAAUUUAAAUUCUAGGGUUCAGGAAACAAAACAGGACAAGACACUUUAUCCUUUGUUGAAUAAAAAAUAAGCAGGCCUAUAGUGAGAAACACAAUUUCCCUUUAGUGGAAGUUACUUGUGUGGUAUUUGCAGAAACAAGUGUGUUUGACUCUUGGCUGCGUCAUCUGGUCAAAUCAGUACCAGAACAAUAAAAGCCAGUGAAACUAGCCUUUCGACUGACCUGAUUGUUUUUUUGGACAGUAUUAAUUCUUUUUUCCUAUCCUUAACUUAAAUCAAUUAAGACAUUUAAAUUCUUGAUUAGAAUGUAAACAAUUUGUAGUCAAAGUUAUUUUAAUAAUCUAAAAAUUGCAGCAGAGUGACUGGCAUAGAAACUAAAGAAAUGUAAAAUUUCAAUUACUGUAAAGUAGGAAUCAAGGAAUCUCCAAUGCACUACCCUUCACGUUGGAAAUCCCUGAAGAUCACAGAGAACAGAACAUGGGGAAAAGGGGAGCAAGUGACAGUAUCAGGCUUGGUGCUUCUAAUAGUUGGAGGGCCUGUUGGAGACCAUUGUUUGUGUAUUACCAAAACUUGAUUCCAGAAACACAAAUGAGUUUUCAAAGGUCAAGUUCAAAUCAUCAACCUAGUAUUUCAGCCUCCAUUUCUUGCUCUACAUUGUUUAGGCAUCCCAGGUUCCAGUCCUUCCCAACGAAUAUUCUGGAGGGUAGCCGGACUAUAUUAGCAUUUCUCUUUAUCCUGGUAUUGCCAAGGGAGCUCUAAAUUUUAAAUUUUCUGUUCUAUGCUCCGCAUGAUUUGUGAACUCAUGUCUGGACCUUUGCAUUGGAAUAUUAUGCAUUCAUUUACUAUGAUUCAAUAAGCAUCUACUAUGUGUGAGACACUAGGAAAAUAAAUAGGAAUAGGCUUUACUUCCUGCCUUCAAAACAUUAAGGAAUUCACAACAUAGUGGCUAUUCCCAUGUACAGCGUAUAUGUGCCUGCUUCUAAGCUUUUGUUCUUUUCUUAGUUGGAGUAUCCUAUCCUAUCACUGUUCUUUUAUCAAUGUGAUUGCUUUAGUUAUCUUGUAGUCCAGCUUAUGUUCUACUUCUGCUAUAAAUCAUUUUCUAGUUUUUGUAGUCCACGUUAAUUUUCUUUUUUUUUCUUUUGACUAGUACAGCUAGCGCAGACACUAUUGCCUGCCCAAUAUCCAUUCCUCCAAUUCUUCCCAGCUAGAUCCCUAUUUUGUUCAGAGCGGCAAUGUGCUCAGUCCUGGAUGAUGAGUUAUGAUAGUUUGAAGCCAAUUAUGACAAAUCUGUUCCCUGAUUUCCUUGCCUCCCUAGCAACCAAGGGUGGCCUUGGGACCCAGUUCUAGUCAAUAAGAUCUAUGUGGCAAUCUGCUCAAGAGGCUGUUUUCUGAGAAAGCUUUUUCUUUUCUGAUAAAAGUAGAAGUGCAAAGUGAUCCUUCUGCUUCCCUCUUCUUUCCUCUUUGAACAUGGACAUGAUGUUUGGAGUUACAGCAGCUAUUUUGUGAUCACAAAGCAACAAGCAUGAAAAAAAGGCCAAUAGAAUCCCAGAGAUGUUGGCCGUGACUUUAUCACACACCGGCAACUCCCUACCUCUGGACUUGUUACGUGAGAAAGACAAUUCCCUAUUUGUUUAAGCCACUCAAGUCAGGAUUUCUGCUACUGAACACAUUGCUAACCAAGAAAUAGCAUUCCUAAUUUGAAUUAUCCAAACUAUUCUUCCUAACUAGAUGGCAAACAUUGGUCACAUUCUUGGCACUUAAUAAAUAAAUAUUCAUUUGCUUCAUAUCUUGAUUAUGUAUACUAGACAUUCAAUAUAUGUAAUGAAAUUCCCAGUCUGAAACAAGGGGAAAAUUGUAUUAGGACAAGAAAAGAGGAUUAAACCAGGCCAAGUAAGAAAAAUUUGAGUCUAAAAUAAGAAGUUCUAUGACAAGAAUUUGUUACAAUCUAGUUUACUUAUUAAUACAAUAAAAGCAAACUUUUAAAAGUUUUCCAAAAUUAGUAAAACAUAUCUUCAGUAAGAAAUAAGACGUUAGAAUAAGCCCCGAAGGGAUGGAUGUUUUAAAGAAGAGAUUACAUAAACAAGAUUCCUAUUAAAUAUACAGAAGGAAACGCUACGCACUUCCAGCUCUCUUAAUAACUGAGGAACCAGCACUUGUCAAAAAUCACCAGCAACAAGACAUUUUCUCUGUCCCUUAGGUAGAAUGACUGUGACUCACCCAAAUGCUCCAGCCUCCUUAGCAUGCUAAUUAGCUUCCAAAAAUCUUUCACCUGAGGUUUGAACCCCUGAGUGAGGAAACUAUUAUAGCAUUCGCUUUUGGAGAAAAGACUACAUAAAUCGGGAUAGAAGCUAUUUUCAAGGCUUCCAAAUAUUACAAGCAAUGGGGAACUGUUGAGGAGAGAAAUAAGUAGCUUUGGGUCGUUUUAGGUUAGCGACCUUAAAUAUAAGGUGUGAUUUAAUCAGAAGCCAGAGUAAUCAUGGCAGGAGGUGGGGAAAAAGACUCAGAGCUGCCUGGAGUUGGGGAGACUUCGGCGGCAGCUUCCGGCUGCAGCUAAAACGGCAGCUUUCUCUCAGAGGCACCACAAACAAAGGGCUGCAUUAUGUAACGCAUCUUGUCUUUCCUUUGUGAACUCUUCCACAACAAAGUUUCAUUAGUUUUUUCCCCCCCCCCUAGACAUUUUACCACUUCUAGGCUGCAACUUCUUGUCCAGAAGGGAAACUUUCUAUCUCAAAUAAAAAUUUAAAUUGCAAGAAAACGGUCUUGUUUUUCAGGAACCAAAUCAAAUACUUUGAACUUUACACUGAGUGGGGAAAUACCUCUUAAGCUAGAUGGACAAAAAUAACCUCGUUUGAAGAAUUUCUGAAUAAUUCAGCAACAGUUAGCAAUAAUUAUCAGACUCUCUCUCUCGAUCUAUCAUUUUCUGGUGGUGUUUCUCUAUCAAAGUGUAUCAAUCUUCUAGAGGGUCACCUUUCAAUACAACAUUUUAUAGGCAAAAUUUGGAAGACAGCAUGUUGCAUGUACCGUACAUAGCACUACAUUCUGAGGAACAGUAUCUUUCUUCAAAAUAAAAUGUAUUUUUGUGCCUGUUACAAGGAUAUUCUAAGAUUAAAUACAGUCCUAUGCUAUCAAAUUUGGCUUUGAUGGGUAAAAGUCUGUUUUUUAUCUCUUUAAUUUUUCAUCAAUUGCUGACUUAAGAGCCUUCCAUUAUGUAAUAUUAUUUUGAUCAGCUGUAAAAAUAAUUUAACUGCUGAAUAGAUUUUCCUUUUUAACAUUCCAAAUGUUGGCUUAAGAUUUGUCACUUAGACCCUUAGAAAGUGACUAAGGUUUACUGGACAAUAUUGCAUGGAACAUGUCUUUUGGUCUGAGAGUGUGGGUUGUGCAUAGUCAAAGUUCAGAUGGGAGCGCCCAAGUAGCCAGUGGUAUAAAAAAAUUGGGGGUUUGAAUCUCAGCAGACGACAAUUUUCCUUCCGGUCUUAAAUGGAUGCCCCAACACUCUGUCAUUUCUUGGGCAGAACGUGAGAGCGAAGCAUUCUAUGGUGCCUGUAGAGCCUAAGAACCAACUUCAUGGGAACUGGCAAUCAAGGCAAGUUACAAGUCAAAUAUAUAGAUUUUCAUUCUGCUGGCCUUUUUUCAUUCAAAAUGCAUCACUCUCAGACUGAGAAUUAUGUCUUAUAAUUUGGGUAACCAUAUCUCCCAGUUUACUCAGGAUAAUUCCAGUUCCAGUUCCAAUUUUCCAGGCACAAUGAUUAAUAGUGGCCACUUUCACUCUCAAAAGUGUCCCAGUUUAGAUAAUAAAUUAUGAGGUUAUCCUAAAUAUAAGCUUUAAAAAAGUUAUUUAUAACACCAUUUACAGUGAUAAUCAUUCUCUUUAGGACAAAUUAAAAUAGUCGCUAUUGGUCAACUUCUAUAAAGAGAAAGAGAUAAACUAAAACUGUAUUACUUUUAUCUCAAACCAGAGAGCUCUUGCCAUCUAAAAGUUUAUUUUAAGAUGAGAAUAAUUUUAGAAAAUCAGAUUUCUAUAAAUUAUUUACGAUUCCUAAUUUUAGGUAGUCUUGGGUUUUUUUUUUAGCCCUAUUUCAUACAAGGAGACAUAUCUGCCCUUAAAAUUUGUUGUAAUGAAAAAAGCACGAGAUCUGAAAUGAAAUUCUUUAAAUCUUGGAUUUGAAUCCUAAUUCAACUAUUUGCUCAGUUGGCAACUUCAAAUAAUCUCUGUGAACAUCAUUAUUAACCCCUCCUAAACUGUCUUUAAGGAUAUUUGAAAAACCAGAAGUGAAAGAGCUAUACAUAAUGUAAAAAGCGAACAUAAUUUCAACAUAUUUACUAUUAUUUCUUUUUAUAUUAAAGACAGCUUUCCCCUUUUUCACUCCUAGGACACUUGUAUGGACUGCAGAAAAAUUGCCCAUAGCAGCUAAGAUGGAGCCACACGUGUGGGAGCAGGGAUCUUCCACUAGAAUCUCCUGCUGACAAGCUCCAUCACAUUUCUGGGUGACACCUGUGCAAGGACAUUGAUGGCCCACAAAGAUCAAAGAAGAAAGAUUAUGGACCUUGUGCACUGAGGCCAGAGAAUGAAAGGUUGAAAUUGAAAGUACACAACUCUGAUCAAAAGUUUUGUUAGUGAUUUCACAAGUUCCUGAUAUAGAUAAUCUGUCCUCAAAAGGAAAGAGAAACUUGAACUAAGAGGAGCUGAAACGGAAAGGCUAGUUUGUGGAGCAGAAAGAAUUUUCUCUUUAAAUUUUUAAGAGAUUACUGGAUCCCUACAGAUAUAUUCCUCUUUAUUCUUGUUGAUGUUCUCCUCUUUCUUCUCUGAAAUUCUAAAUUCUUUGGCCCAGAAAAAAACAUGGGCAUUAAAACUUACUUCUCUUAAUCUAUCUGACAUCACAAUUAUAUGGAAAGUGUUUUUAGUUUUUCAUCUAUAUGAAUGUAAACAAGUGAUUUUUAUUUUUUAAAAAGUCUUGACAUGUCUUGUUUAAAAGGCAUUUCUUUAGAGCUUUUAAUAAUUGUAGGAAAAGUUCUUAUAAAUUAUCCUUCAUCCAAAUACUUAAGUAGGUAAAUACACUAAAUGGAGAGCUAAUCCAGUAACUCAUGGCAUUUUUGUCUGUUUUAAAUUGACUACUCUGAGAAUUAGAGCUCCAGUACCUAAUUCGAAGGCUCAAGAUCUUUAGGUUUGUACAAGGUUCUAUCAAGCAACUCUCUAACUAAUGACUCUCUAUUUUAAAUAUACUCUGCUUGCCAACGAGGUCACAUAAAAAGAGGAGUGAAUGGCAAGAGGCUGUAGAGGAAAAAGGAAUGCCAACAAGACUGUACUUAGUAUCCCCGGGCUGAAAAAGAGCGCUAGAAAUCAUCCCCCAUCCCUUGGGAGAAAAAUCUCUCUCACACAUUCCAUCUAUUAGAAGUUCAUUUGUGUUUAACAAGCCCCACUUUUAAAAUGCAAAUCUGCCUUGUGAACCUGUAAACCACCUUCACACCUUAUUGUUAAUUACUUUGAUGUUCUAGAAUUUGAUCAGCACUUAAAUUGAUAUUGGCAAUCUAGGAAUGAACAAAUAGCUCAGGGUGGAAAAGGGGAAAUUUUGGUGGAGGUGGUAGUGAACGGAUCUCGUCUGUGGGCAAGAGAGCAUCUUGAGAUUGUGCAGUUUUGUCUAGGAGAGUGACAGCUGCUCAGGGACCACAAAAUGAGCACUUUUCUUGAUUGCCAAUGUCUGGCUGAGAUCAGAAUAGGGCCGGAAGCCUGCAAACUUCAAGUUUUAAAUAAUUCGUCAUAGCAAGUUGAGUUUAGCCUUUCUUGGAAACCUUUCUAGCUAAUUCUUACUGUCUCCAUAAGCUGGCAACCUUGGAUUCUAAGAUUCAUCUAGUCCAACCUCCCAGGUUUGAUACUCAACUGAUAAAUGAACUCCAGAACAAAGUGAAUGUGGUUCAGUCCUUUUUCAUCGUCUCACUAGUCGUUCACCUCUUUGGAGACUAUGGUAGGUAAUCCUAGAACACACCGUAAGCCAUUUUGGAAGAAUAUAGGAUGAUAUAUUAUGUCUAUAUCUGUUUUAGCAAGUGCCCCUUGAUCCGGUAGAAAAGGUUUCAAAAUUUGAAUUAGACUUCAGUUGACUUAAGCUACAAGUCUUAGCUAGACAGAAAUUGAAGGAAAAAAUAUUUUAUGACAUUUUAUAACAUUAUUAGUCAUCUCUCCUUUUAUAUGAAAGAUAAUUAUACUAAAAUCUUCACUGUUAAGAAAAGGGGUCAACUUUCCCGCCAAAAUGGCUAAUUUUAGUUUUUAUGUGGUUGGAUACAUUUGUAAACUAUUACACAAAAACAUAUGGUUGGAACAUGCUUAUUCCUUCAUGAGUGUUCCUCUUUUGAGGUUGCAAAAUUUUCCUUACUUGUUCCAUGUGCUAUUUUGUUGUGCUGAUGGCUUCUUGUUCUAAAUAAUUUUCUUCCUUUUCCAUUGUUAAUGAAAUGAAUUCUAAUAAGGAACAAAAGAAACCCUCUAAUGAAAAUCCCUGUCUUAGAGAUGUGGGCUGGGAGCUGAUAUAGGACACAGGGGACAGCAAACAUUGUGUUGCACAUUCUUCAAUCAAUUGAUCCCAUUGUGCUUUAUUCACCUGAAUGCAUUUUGACAAGUCGUGAAGCAAUAGUGGGAAAGGGAUUAUUUGUGUGGUUAAUUUUCAGUUACUUAUAAAGUACUAGACAAGUUUUUCUUAUUAAUAAACAUAAAUCUACACACUUUUAUCUUCCAUCAGAUCAAUGAACCACCAUUUUAAAAUAUCUCACCCAUAGAGAGGAAUGAAAAAUCCCAGCAGUAUUAAAGUUUCACAAAGCUUGACCUUGGAAUUUUGGUAUAUGAUUCUCAGUUGAUCUUUGAGUGUAACAGUCAACUAUUAGGCUGGCAUGGUUGAGGUGCAGUUCUUUCAAACAGAAGGGUGUUGUAGAACAACUGAGAAUCCUUCCAACUACUUAAUUUUAUUUCUUACUUUAUAUUCUGCCCUCACCUUUCCUUAUAACACUCUUCUUCCUUUUCCUACAUAUUUUCACUCCCAUACCUUCCCAAUUCUGCUUGACAGUGAGACCCUAUUGUUUUGGCAUAUAUAAUUCUCUAUAAAUACUUGUUGAAUGCACGAAAAGCCAUCUGGACAAAUAUUAUAAAGUGAACCAUAGAAAAAAUCUUUAAUUAAGCAAAUUAAUAAAUCUACAGCUUUGGGAAAAAAAUCCAUGAUAGUAAAAAAGUGAUUAAUAGUUCCAAGUAUAUUUAGGAAGGAUGAGGCCUAGAAGGUUAAAAAUGAGAAAUUAUAGAAUCAGAAAAGAAAACAAUGUUACAGCUGAACACAAUUGAAAGCACAUGCAGAAGAAAGCUAAUAUAUUGUUUAUGAAAAAAUUAAACGGAAAGACUGAAAUCAGAAUGUUAGUUGGUAUUAUUAUAUCAAAAGCCAGAAAGUUAUUUCUUUCUGCUCCAACUCUAGAGAGAACAAAUACUCCAAUGCCACUAAGAGCAGAAGAGGGAGAAAUGUUUAGAAUUUAAGAGUUAUAGCAGAUAAAAGAGCUAGACGUUCAAGGUAAGCCAGAUUGGUUUGUGUGGUAACCAGCUUCCAGGAUGACUCCCUAGGAUCCCUGCCUCCUGGUGUUCACCCCCUCGUAUAGUCCUGCCUACAGUGUAUCCGGGUUGGUCUGUGUGACCAAUGCAACAUGGUAAAAGUGAUGGUGUGUGACUUAGUGCUAGGUCAGAAAGGCCAUUCUACUUCUCCUUACUCUCUUCAAUCACUCACUCUGGGGAAGCCAGCCCCUACGCCCUGAGGGCAGUCAAACAGCCCUAUGGAAAGGUCCACAUGGCAAGGAACUGAGACCAUCAGUCAACACCGACUUAUGAGCCAUGUGAGUGAGCCACCUUGGAAGUGAUCCCCCAGCUCAAGUCAAGCCUUCGGAUGACUGCAACCCCUGCUGACAUCUUGACGGCAAUAUCAUGAAAGAUCUGAAACCAGAACUACCCCACUAAGCUGCUCCUGAAUUCCUGAUCAUGAGCGAUUCCUGAGAGAUAAUACAUGCUUACUGUUUUAAGUCAAUAGGUUUUGAGGUAACUUUUUUUUUUGUAACAAUAGAAAACUAAUGCAGUGAUUGUGGCUUUUUUUGUGUACCUCAAGUGCACAGAACCAGAUUAAUCAUAAUCCUUGGAACAUGAUGCAUACUCAUUAUUUGUCCAUGCUUGGCCUAAUUUUAUUCACAUAGUUAUUUUUUAAUGAAUUAAUAAACCAUCAAACUAAGUUCCUGAAAGAAGAGCUAGGAACUUUAUAAUAACCUACAUCUAUCCAUACAGUUUACCCCAUCUUACGUUCUUGCCUCUUCUACCUAAAAGAACCAUUAUCCUGAUUCUAAUGUUUAUCAUUUCUUUGUUUUCCUUUUCAUGUAGUUUUAUCACAUCUAUAGGUAUUCUUAAAUUUAUGUGUCUGUAUAUACAUAUAUGUGUAUGUGUGUGUAUAUAUAUAUGCAAUAUGUAUGUAUUCUGGUUGCUUUUAACUUUACAACAUGCUAUUAUGCUCUAUAUAAUAUUUUCAGAUUUAAUUAGUUUCACUUAAUAUGAUAUUGUUAAGGUUUAUCCAUGUUGUUGCGUAUCAUUGCAGUUCAUUCAUUUUGUGUCUAAUUAUUGAUGCUGUCAAGAUGGUCAGUAAGACAGAGAAACAGGACUAACAAGCCCUCACAUCACAGAAUUAUUUAGUUGUGGGUAGGAAGGAUAAAGCAUAUUUAGGAUAUAAUUUAAAUGAAUUCACUAGCUCUAGAAAUGAAAAAACAAACAGAAAAUUAGUUUAGAAAUUUAAAAAAAUUUCUUUUCCUAUGGAUAAUGAAUAUUCAAUAGCAUAUUAUAGUAAACCACAUACAUUUACUGUUGAUAUAAUACAGUUUGUUAUACACACACACACACACAAACUAUGGGCCCCACAGAUAUCAGCUGAAGUGAAUAUUACAAAGCUCAAAGACCAAGGAAAAUAUAGUAAGAGUUGCCUAUAUAAAAAUAAAAUGUUAGUGUUCUAAAGGAUUCAUUGUGGGGCACUAUAUUGGUGAGCAAAUACCAAAGAUCAUCUAUUCUUUUCUUUAAGAAUGCAUAUAUCCAUUUUUAUGUAAAUAAUAUUUAUGUACAAAAAUUUUCUUUACUACCGACUGUUCUCAAACACAAGUACAUUAUCAAAGAAUUCCUGUAUAUGAUUACUUAAUAUCCACUUCAAACCUUUAUGAAUACCAUUUAAAGCAUUACUUACAAAUCUAAUGAAUUUUAUAGCCAAAUGGUGAAGAUCCCUCAACCUCACCUCUCCCCCUCUUCCCAAUCACUCAAGGAUUAUAUGUCUUUGUCUUGAUGGCACUAUCCGGAAACUGGCCUCAUUUGUUAAUUCCAGAAAUGUUUCAACUAUAUUUGUUUCAGCCAGCUGUUUCCUGAUAUCCUUCUGGCUGGCAUCGGUUUACAAUGGACAGUAUUGUUGAAUGUAAAAGUCAUCUUAUUGUAAUAUUAUUAUUAGUUCCCCUACAUUCCCCACCCUCCUCCCUCCACCAGCACCUCAAAGAGGGAUGUUGAGUCAUGGAGAUUUAACAUGACUCCUUGAGCUAACAGACUUAUAGUACAAACACACUUUUGGUAUCAAGUGGCCAAAUUAAUUUGAUCCAUUAAAUUGGUAUUUAUUUGACCAUUUGGAUCUACCAAAUAGACACAAACACUUCUCUGACGACACAAUUACAAAGAAUGUGUGUGAAAACUAUAAAGUAGGAGAUAUUUCAUUCUUAGUCCUUCAGUAAACAGAUUAUGUAGCUUUGAGGAAUAGAAGGAAAAGAAAUACUGAUGAAAUAGAGCCCUAAACUAUGGCAUAAAGUCCAAAGCAUGGAGCAGGUCAGAAAAGAAUGCAAAGGAUUAGCAGAAUUAAUGAAGGUGAUCAGAAAUACUGACAGAGGACAGUCAUCUUUUUAUCCUUAGUCAUUUUCCCAAGGCCCUUUAUCAAAAAUAGGGCAUAACCAUUUUAGGAAUAAAUUUUUCUCAAAUUUCUCAGUUUUCAAAAAACCUGCACGCAAGAGAGAAAGACUAUAUGAAAAGCAGCUAAGUGGGAGAACAAUAGGAGUCUAUGGGCCAAAAAGGAGGGUCCCCCAGCCAGCCUUUAUCUUGAUGUCCUCUCUCAGUAGGAUUAUGGCGGAUGGAAGAAGUUUGGAAAAUGUCUACGUGGGAAUCAAGAAAAGUGGAAGCUCUAGUUUAAAGAGAAUGCAAGGUAUAUUUUUUUCUCGCUGGUACUAGUGUUUGUAUUUGGAGAAGGAGUCUACUUCCUUCUAGUGAAAACUUCUCCUUCCUCAUGAAAACUCCAUUCAGAACGUUUGCCAGUCAAGGCAACAGACUACAGGCAGUGGCAAUGGGAAAGAGUUUAAGUUUAAGAUUUGCUUUGGAGCUUGUAUUGAUAAAAUGUGGUGAAAGCAAGCUAUAUUGCACAAUAAGCCAAAAAAUAGAAUAAUCUCUUUCUUCCAGUCUAUUGCAUAAAGGAGAGUUAGUUGACUUUUAUAUUGUAAAUGUAAAGAAAACAAAAGUCUCAUUCAUCGUCCGGUAAUGAUGCCAGUCUAAUUUGCUAUUAAAUUUCCGUUCAAACCCUCUAUUUUGUUUAGUUACAAGGGAUUUGAUCCCCUUAAACUUUCCCAGGCAGUUUGUAUGGAAGUCAAUUGCUAAGGGGAUUCCUAAGGGAACCUGCAAAACAUUGGAAGAUAAAUAACCUCAGUACAAUAUGCAGAUUAAGUAAAGGGAAGGUUUAAGAGUUACCUUUAGAAAGGAAAAGAAAAGAUUUCGAAUUCUGGGCCAGAGGUGCUAGUUAAUCACUGAUCGGAAGGAACUUAGUCAAGGCAGCUUUACACUUCCCAAGAAGGAAGGACUUUCCAUUUUCCCUCUUGGGAAUAAAGGUAAAAGUCAUCAUCGAGAGGAAGCUGAAGGGGAAAGUUCGUCAUUCCCUCUCUUACAACCUUCCUUUUCUUCUUCCCUCCACCUCUGUAGCUCUUCCUUCAGUAACUCAAAGGUAAAGGAUCUAAGAAUAGGAAGCCAGAGGUGGCAGCUGGGGGGUCUCAAAAGUCUAAAGUGAGGUUCAACUUCUGGGAAAAGCUUUUGGCAAUUUACUUAGUUUAAGUGAAAGAAGCAAUUUGAUCUGUUAGGAAAAGCAGGGACUUAGGCUCAGACAGCUGUGAAUUUGAACCCAAGCUCCACUAACCUAUUACCAGUGUGACCUUGAGCAAGUUAGCCAACCUGUUUAAACCUCUCGGUUUAGUCAUGUCUAAAAUGAUGAUUACCUAUGAAACCUGUCUUACGUAUACUAUGCAGGUACUUAGUAAGUACUCAGUACUUCUGUAGUAUCUCUCUAAACUGGAUCUGGGGUAACGAGUUAGUAUCAUGACAUUUGUAUGAGACAAAGGAAAGAUAUUUAAUCCUGAGAGCACUCACCGUCUGCAACAAUCACUGGACAAUUGACCAGAUGGUAUUUGGUUGAUAUCUUUUCAUUUACUAAUUGAUAAAAUUUUUGGGUGGAAGAAAAAGGACUAAUCUCUAACUUCUAUCAUUUAAAAAAAACCUGAGGGGCCAGCCCGGUGGUGCAGCAGUUAAGUCUGCAUGUUCCCCUUCUCGGCAGCCCGGGGUUCACUGGUUGGGAUCCUGGGUGCUGACAUGGCACCUCUUGGCAAAAGGCAUGCUGUGGUAGGCAUCCCACGUAUAAAGUGGAGGAAGAUGGGCAUGGAUGUUAGCUCAGGGUCAGUCUUCCUCAGCAAAAAGAGGAGGAUUGGCAGCAGUUAGCUCAGUGCUAAUCUUCCUCAAAAAAAACAAAAAAAAUUGAAGGUGAGAACUAAGAAAAAGAAGAUAUUACUAGUUUUUUUUUUCAGGAAGAUUAGCCCUGAGCUAAUAUCUGCCGCCAAUCCUCUCUCUCUCUCUUUUUUUUUUUUGCUGAGGAAGACUGGCCCUGAGCUAACAUCUGUGCCCAUCUUCCUCCACUCUAUAUGUGGGACGCCUGCCACAGCCUGGCUUGUCAAGCAGUGUGCAGGUCUGCACCUGGGAUCCCAAUGGGCGAAUCUCAGGCUGCCCAAGUGAACCCAAUAGCUGCGCCACCAGGUCAGCCCCAAUACUAGAUUAUUUUUAAGGUUAAUCUUAGAGAUUUUUCACCAGCCUCUGGUGAUUAGUGUUCCCACAUUAUAGAACAUGUUCUCUACUUGUACUUUGAUAUGGUUGUCUAUCAGAAGGGUAAAAAGAUGUACUUUACAUGUAAAUUUUAAAUAAAUUUUGUGUCAUGUUUUGACUAGUUAUCCUACCUGUAGUAUUGAAUUCAUUAUGAUAUUCCUUACAUUUUUGUCUGAGCACCACAGUUUAAUAAAAAAUUUACUAAGGAAUCUAUUAAUUAACAUAAUUAAUGUUUAUUAUUUAUUACACACUAGACAUUGUACUAAUCACACUAUUAUUAGUAUUUUAAUAUCAUUAAUAACUAUAAACAUAUUAUACGUAAUAACAAUAGGAACCAUUUACUGAAGGCUUUUUGUGUACCACACUUUGCUAAGCAUUUUAUAUACAUUUUCACAGUUAAUACUUUCAAAGACCUAAUGCACUAAGUAUCAUUGGAUAAAUGAGGAGACAUGACAAUCUUUUCUUGUUAAAGGAAAACUCACCAUAUCGGAACAGUCUUCCAAGUAGUGAUAGAACAGAAUGGUAAUAUUUAACUUUAGAAAAUGCCAUUCGUAAAAGUACAGUUAAUAAACUUUAUUAAUUUGUGCUGUAUGCAAUAAUAAGGUUACAUUGCACGGCACUGAAAGGCUGCCCUCUAAAAGAUAGCACUUGAUCAACUGCACACAAUAAUCCUUUAGAACAACAGCGUAAUAGAGGAACGAAAUUCCAUCCGAAAUACAGAGAGAAUUUAGAAAAACCAAACGUUUGAGCUUGACUGGAAUUUGUCCCUAUGUAUUUCAAAGUUCACAAAUACAGUAGGUGAAGAUCAUUGACGUUGUCAGAGGAUUAUCACUAAGUUUCAACCAAAAGGCAACAAAUGCAAGCAAUGCAGAUACAGAAAGUAGUGCCUCCCAAAAUAAAGUAAGGCAAACGGCAUGAUUUAUUCCAACUCCCAUCCUUUUGACUAACCAUCAGGCUCAGAAAUUAAAUAUCUAAAGAUUAAAAGUAAUACAGCUUUAAGCAGUUGACCAAUAGGUUGCUACAUAAAAUGAUCCUCAUCACAUUUGAAGUGUCUCACAGUUCAAAAAUUUCACCUAUGCCCAUCCAUUUCCUAUCUCCCCAAAUAAUUCAAUAACUUAAUUACCCCACGGUUUAAUCUGGCCAAGGAGCCAAGGAAGACAUGUUUUUCUUUCAUUGUUACUCUACCCUGGGGAAAGGAAUACAAUAUAAACUACAUGGAAAACCUUCCUUUUUUGUGUGUAUGCCCACCACAAUGCUUUCACUACUAACUUUCUUGCUGACUGAAUACAAAAUGCUGCCGUUCAAUCAGAUGAGUCUCCAUGAAGUUAGAAUCAUUCAAGUGAAAUUCAUAAAAUAAAGAAGAUAAAUAGACUCCAGAAAUUUCAGUUCUUGAGAAGCUGAUUACACACAAAAGGGUGAUUAAAAGUGAAAGGUUAGUGGAAAAUCUUCUGGGCUCAUUUAAUAAGAGAAUGUGGAGUUCCAUGAGAGUCUUUUCUAAAGAAAGCACUAACAGCGUUAUAGAGCGACAAAACCUGAAAGGCUGCAUAAUGGACUUAAGUCUGCUUUGUGACUCAUGGGCAUACUUCAUCAGGAUGUACUUCCUCUUUUAGAGGGUCAUGUAGGUGAACAAGCUGACAAAGUUGACAGAGAGAGAAAUUCCACAUGUGUCACAGGGAUAACAUUUAUUUGAUCUCAAGUUCUACACACACAUAGAAAAUAAUUCUAAGUCAAACUUUAAUGAAUUCAGUCAUGUUGGUGGUGUUUUGCUCCUAGAAUGUCCCCCUUUUUUUUGCCUCUAGAAUAUAACUCAAGUUACUUUAAAUUGACACUAGGUAAAUUGUAUCGUUCCCAAAUCUUUUAUGAAAGGAUAAGCUAAAUGAAAUAACUUCUAAAGGCUGGUUAGAGAUUUCCUUUUCAAAGUAGCAAUAAUAACAGCAGCAAUAUUAGUACAAGAAUAAUGAAUAACUGAACACACACUAUGUGUCGGGCACUACGCUUAGAGUUUUACACGCAUUAACAAAUUAACAAAGCAAUCAAUACUUUUGAGAACUACUCCAGACUAGGCACUAUACAAAAUGUGUCACGCACACACACAAAAGAUAGAAGCAAUUUUAAUUACACAACAGACCUAGAACAUAUAAUGGAUAAGAGUAUCAUGGGAGAUUUUUGGUAAAAACUGAAUAGGUCCUUUCAUAUUUCUUUGUUUGAAUCUCUCCAAAUAUCCCUAAUGUCUGCUUUUCAAAAGGAAUAAAACUAUAAUAAUUUUGAAAAAAUUAUUCACAAAGAAAACUCCCACUCUUUUAUAUAAAGCCUUGAUUCUUAACUUCUUAAGACACACAAUACUCUCUACUAUUUCUGAAAAAUCAUUGACAAGUAGCCAUAAAAACUUAAAUAAUAACUGAAAACAGUCUUCACAGAUCAAUAGGCCAGGAAGAAUUCUUAGAAUAUGCAUUGGCCUCCACCCACAUUUUUCAAUGCCAUUUACUUUUAUCCAUCAAUACUUUCUUCUUUUAUUUUUCAUAUCCCUAGAUUAAGGAAUAUCUGCAUUUAUUUACAGAAAUAUCCUGAGACUGCUCCCACAAAUGCAUAUUUUUAUGAAGACCAAGAAAACAAGAAGAAAACAUGAGGGUCAUAGUAUCCUGGGGUCCUUUUUGUUUUCUUCUUUUUCUCAUUACGAUUACUUUAUUAGGCUUGCACCUAUUUCUAAUAGGUUGGAUCUUUCACUAGACCUGAAUUAUGAGACUCUUUAUUUAGGACUUGAACAUAAAUAUCAGUUGCUCAGUUGUUAUUUUCAUGGUCAUUUUAAGCUAUUUCAACCAUAAAUGCUUUAAUUGCAUGAAUAUCCUAAAGCUGUCUAAGUACAAAUAUACUCCCACCACAUUCCUCUAUGCUAACACAAUAUUGUAGUUGGAGUAAAGUUUCAUUAAAAUAUGUGAGGAAAAUUGGUACAUUAAUAAUAUUUAAAAAUUAAACAAUAUACAUGAUAGCCAUAGGACGUAAGAUGUAGUCAGCCCUUCAGAACUUCUGAUGCAUCAUUUUAAAACAUCAUUUAUCAUUUUGAUAAAGCUGAAGUCAAGUUUCUAAAAAUGCAACUUGUUAAAAGCAAGAAUAAAUGAAUGAGGGAUGAGUCAGCUCAUUUGAUGGAAAGGGUAAAAAGAAAAAUACUUCAAAAGCACACCACAUGACUUGGUAAAUAUUCAGUGUAUCAAAAUGUAAUUGCCAUCUGGCGUUGAUAGACUGGGCUAGAAUAUGUGUUAAAAGGAAAAAAAAGAAAGGAAGUAACUCAGCCAGGUUAACGUGCUCUUGUCUACAUUUCAUAAUUCAGGUAUUAAGUAGUUUAAUAAAUAUUCACUACAAAGGAAGAGCUGUAUUACAGUCAGACUUGGGCAGUAUUUAUUGGGGGUGGGUGGAGAGGAGUAAAAGAAGACAAGACUUGAUGACACCUGUAUAAGCUAAAGACAAAAAACUGUUUUAGCUGAAGCUGAAUUCUCAAUCAUAUGAUCAUACUGCCAGAACACCAGCUUCACAGUUAAACACAGGGAAGUGGUAAAAGCCUAUAUUUGUAAAGAAACUGAAAUCUCACUAUUGUCAGCUUUGAAUAUUCAAUUACUCUUUUCUUUGGCUAUGACUAUUUAAAAGUACAGAGUAAACCAGAAAAUAAACAAAAGUAUUACUUGGACAGCAGUAAGAAGGAAAAAUUAAAAAGCCUUGACAUUCUUUGAAGUUUUUAAACUAGAGUUUGCUAUUAACUUUACAAUAUGUAAUCAAACAAGAAGUAAAUGUGAAGGACUUUCUCCUUCUUGCUCAAGAAAUGAAGCACAUUUAGAAAACAUUAUCAUUUAUGAAAGAAAAAACUGAACAGAGCAGGGAAAACUUGCUCGAAGUAGCAAUGCCUGCCCAAGGCCAUAUCUGGGCUUUUUAUCAGGUACCUCUUUCCUUAACCUCGAACAUUCCCCGGGGUUCCAAAUCUUGACAAUGUAUGUUCCAUCACAUCUCUUAGAAUCAAGGCAAUAGGCAGAAAAGUUUUAACAAAGCUUUGAGGGUUAAUCAAGACAGGGUCUGGGGAAAUUGUUAGCAAAAUGGAUGAAACACUUCAGGCGAGAGUUGAUUCAGUUAAAGCACAGACUUUUUUUUAAAAAAAAAUUGAGGUAAAAUUUACAUAAAGCAAAAUUCAUGGAUUUUAAAGUGUAAAAUACAAAGAGUUUUGAUAAAUGUAUAUACCUGUGUAACCACCAUCCUGACUGAGAUAUAGAAAGUUCCUCAAUACCCUCUUCCAGUCAAUUCCCACCUCUCAUAAACAACCAAUAUUCUGAUUUUUAUCACCAUAGAUUAGUUUUGCCUUCAUACAAAUGGAAUCAUGUAGUCUUUUGGGUCCUGGUUUCUUUUGCACAACAUGUUCCUGAAAUUCAUCCACAUUCUUGCCUCUAUUAUAGUCCACUUUGUUUUGUUUGCUUAUGAGCAUUCUAUUCUAUGAAUAUACCACAUUUUGCAUAUCCAUUUGCUAUAUUUGGGUGUUUCCAUUUUUAGGCAAUUAUGAAUAAAGAUAUUGGAAACAGUUCUUAUACAAGUCUUUUUGAGGGCACAGUUUUCAUUUCUUUUUGGUAAAUACCCAGGAAUGCAAUUACCAAAUCAUAGGGUAGGCAUACGUUUAACUGUUAAGAAUGCGAAGUAUUCCACAUCCUUGCCAACACUUGAAUGUGUCAGUCUUUUUUAUUUUAGUCAUUCUAGUAAGCAGGAACUAUGAUCUCGCUCUGGUUUUAAUUUGAAUUUCCCUGAUGACUAAUGAUGCUGAGUAACUUUUUCUGAGCUUAUUGGUUGCUCUUAGACCUUCCAUUCUGAAGUGCCUAUCCAAGUCAUUUGCCCUUUUAAAAUUUUGUUUAUUUGUUAUUGAUUUUUAGGCAUUCCUUACAUAGUCUGGAUAUGUGGAUAUAUGUAUUGCAAAUAUUUUCACCCAGUCUGUUGCUUGCCUUUUUGUUUUCUUAAUAUUGUAUUUUGAUAAUGAGAAGUUUUUAAUUCAGAUGAGGUCUGACAUCAUUUUUUUCUUUUAGGUCUAGGGAUUUCUGUAUCCUCUAAACAGUCUUUGCCUACUCCAAAGUUAAGAGAUUUUUUUCCCCUAUGUGUCAUUAUGGAUGCAUUACCAUCUUAGUUCUUUGCAGGUGUUUAAUACAUAUAAAAUUAAUUUUCAUGUGUAGUGUGAGAUAGAGGCCAAAGUUUAACAUUUUUCCAUAUGUUUAUCUAGUUUUUCAAGCACUGUUUGUGGCAAAUGUUUUUCUUCUCCCAGUUAACCUACAUUGUCACCUUUGUUGAUAUCAAUUGACCAUUUGUUUGGAGUUGAUUUCUGGACUCUCUCUCUGUUCUGUUACAAUGACAAAUGUGUGGGGUUUUUUUGGUUGGGGUGGUAUAAUCUGUCUUUGUUACUAUAUAUUUAUAGACAGUUUUGAAAUUAGAUAGUGUGAGUGCUCCAACUUUGUUCUUAUUUUCUAGGUUAUUUGCAAUUCCAUAUGAAUUUUAAAGUCAACUUGACAACUUCUCUAAAGGUUAGAAAAAAAUGUGGAGGUCUUUGCUCAGAUUGCAUUGACUCUAGAGAUCAAUUUGAAAAGAAAUGAAACUUUAACAACAUUGAGUGUUAAUUCAUGAGCAAUGUAUAUUUCUCUAAGGCCUUUUAGUUUUGAAUGUAGAGGCCUCAUAUUCCUUUAUUGAGCUUAUUUCUAAGUAUUUUGUAUUUUUAUGCUAUUGCAAAUUGACUUUAAAAUUUCAUAUUCAAAAUUAUUUGCCACUACCACACAAAAAUAUAAUCAAUUUUUGUAUAUCGAUCCUGUGACCUUCCCACAUCCACUUAUUAGCUCCAGUAGUUGCUUUGUAUAGUCCAUAAGAUUUUCUAUUGUGAAUAAUCAAGGAAUAAGUGUAUAAAAACAGUUUCACUUCCUUUCCUAUCUAUAUACCUUUAAUUUAUUUUUUCUUGCUUUAUUACUCUGGCUAGAAUUUUUAGUACAAUAUUGAACAGAGAUAGUAAGAGAUAUCCUUGCCUUUUACUAGAUCUUAGGUGGAAAGUUAUCAUUCAGUCUUUUAUCAUUAAGUAUGAUAUGAACUGUAGGUUUUCACAGAAGCCCUUCAUCAGAUUGAGGAAGUUCCUGUCUCUUCAAGUUUUCUGAGUGUUUAUUAUAAAUGCCUGUUAAAUUAUUUCAAAUGCUUUUCCUGCAUCUAUUGAGAAGAUCCUAUUUUUCUCCUUCAUUCUGGUGAAUUUACAUUGAUUUAUUUUCAAAUGUUAAACUAAACUUGCAUUGCUGAGAUAAACUCCACAUGGUCAUGAGGUAUUACCUAUCUUACAUAUUGCUGGACUUUAUUUGCUAUUAUUUUUCAAAGAUUAUUGUGUCUAGACUCACGAGGGAUACUAGCCUGUAAUUUUUUUUAUAUCUUUUUCAGUUUUUGCUAAGAAGAUUAUGCUGGGCUCAUAAAACAAGCCAGGAAGUGUUUUUCCUUCUAUAUUUUCUGAAAGUUUGUGUAGGAUUAAUAUUAUUUCCUCUUUAAAUGUUUAAUAGAAUUCUCCAGGGAAACUAUCUGGGCCUGAGCUUGUCUUUUUAGGAAUGUUUUUGGUAACAAAUUCAAUUUCUUUAAUAAACAUAGGGUUAUACAGAUUUUCUAUGUUUCCUGUGUCAGUUUUGGCCACGUUUUUAAGGAAUUUAUUUCAUCAAAGUUGUUGAUAUUAUUCACAUGAAGUUUUCAUAAUAUUCCCUUGUUAUCCUUUCAAUAUCUGUAUGAUAUGUAAUGAUAUCCCCUCUUUAGUUACUGAUUUAGGCCAUUUGUAUCUUUUCUUGAUUGUUCUUACUAGAGGCUUGCCAAUUUUAUUUAUCUUUUCAAAGAAUCAAGUUUUGCUUUUGUAAAUCUUUAUUGUUUGUUUUCCAUUUUGGAUGAUUGUCUUGUUAUUUAUUUCUCUCCUUCUACUACUUUAUGGUUUCAUAUGACCAUAUUUUUCUACAUUAUUAAAGCGGAAAACUAUGCCACUGAUUUUAAAUCUUUCUUAUUUCUUCUGAUUUAGGAAUGAAAGCUCUAAAUUUCUGCUAAUCCCUUCUUUACGUAAAUUUCAACAAUUUACCUAAAUUUCAAAAUAUUACAUUUUCAGUAUACUUUGAUUUAAGAUAUUUUGUAAUUUCCCUCAUAACUUUAUCUUUUCAACUAUGGGGUAUUUAGAAGUUUAUUGUUCAAUUUCCAAGUGGUCUUAUAUAUAUAUAUAUAUAUAUAUACACAAUUUCUAAUUUAAUAGCAUUAUGAUCAGAAAACAUAUUAUGUAGUAUCUCAAUCUUUUGAAAAUGUUUGAAACUCAUUUGAUGGCCCAGAUUGUGGUCUACUUUGACAAAACUUCUACGUGCAGUUGUAUACAGUGCAUAUUUUUCAGGUAUGGCUAGUCUUCUAUAAAUGUCAAAUAGCUCAAGGUACCUGAUAGCAUUUUUAAUAUCUGGUAUAUCCUUACUGAUUUUCUGUCUACUUAUUCUAUCAAGUACUGGGAGAAGGGUAUUAAACUCUCCCGUUGUUAUUAUGGAUUUCUCUAUUCCUCUCUUUUUCUGUCAGUUUCUGUGUAUAUGUUUAUUACAUACAUCUUCAUGAUAAAAUGACAAAUAUCAUUAUAAAAUAUCCCUCCAUCUCUAAUAGUAGCCCUUUUCUUAAAGUCUACUCUAAUAGUAACAUAGCUAAUCCAGCUUUCUUAUGCUUAACUGUUUGUAUUGUAUAAAUCUCCCCAUCCUUUUACUCUCAAGAUAUGGAUAUCUUCAUACUUAAAGUGCAUUCCUUGUAGACAAUACAGAGUCAAAUCUUACUUUUUUUAUCCAAUCUGAUAGUCUCUGCCUUUUAAUAAUAGAGAUUAGACCAUUUACAUUAAAUGGAAUUAUUGCUACAGUUGAGUUUAGAUUUACCUUCUCAUUAUUGGCUUUCUAUUUUUUUCCUUUUUUUGUGUCUCUGCUUUCCUUUAUUUUUCUAAUGGGUUAAAUUGGUAUUUUAUUUUCUAUUCUAACCCCCCUAUUGGCUUUUUAGCUGUACUUUCUUGUAAUAGUUUUUAGCAGCUGUUCUGGGGAUCACUAUAUGCCUCUUUAUCACUGUUUACUUAGAGUUAAUAUUGUACCACUUCACCUAAAUUUAUGAGUCUUACAAGAGUAUAAUUCUAUUUACCAGCACUCUGUCUUUUGCAAUUUUUUUAAUACAUUUUAAGUCCAUAAAUAAUAUAGACCCAUGACAAAAUGUUAUAAUUUAUGCAUUAAACAGUCAGCUUUUUAAAAAAAGUUAACAGAAGAUAUUUCUUUACAUGUACUUAGAUAUUUACAAUUUGUGAUUUUCAUUCUUUUUUAAACCCAGUUUCCAUCUGAUCUCAUUUCCCUUCAACCUGAAGAACCUCCUUUCACAUUUCUUGUAAGAGUUCUGCUGACAACAAAUUUUGUUUAUAUGAAAAUUCUUUAUUUUUUCAUUAUUGGAAGAUUUCUUUGCUGUAUAUAAUUCUGGCUUAGCAGUUUUUAAUCACUUAAAAAAUGGCACUCCAUUGUUUCUAGCCUCCAUCAUUUACAGUGAGGUACUUAUUUGAUCCUCUUUGGCAAUCUAUUCUCCCACAUCCCUAUGGCUGCUUUCAAGAGUUUUCUUUUUAUCUCUGGCAUAUGGAAGUUUGACAACAACGUCUACAUGGGAUUUUCCUUCUAUAAUUUUGCUUUUUCACCAAAUUUUGGUCAUUUUUAGCUAUCAUUCUUUCAAAUAUCACUUUUGUCCCAUUCUCUCUUCUGCAUCUCCAAUCUGCUGUUAAGCUUCUCUGAUGAAUUAUUUUUAUUUUGGAUAUUUUAUUUUAACCCUUUAGUGCUUUUUAAUAACUCCAUUUGUUUUCUUCUGAGAAAAGAAUAUUAGACUGUCUUAUAUCAUUCUACAGAUCACUGACACUGAAUAUUUUUUCAGUCCUUUUUCUCUCUGUUCUUUAUACUAGUAAUGUCUAUUGAUCUAUAUUUAAGUUUACUGACCCUUUCUUAUGCCAUCUUCAAUCUGCUGUUAAGCCUCUCCAAUUAUUUUUUUGUUUCUUUGUUUCAGAUAUUGUCCCUUAAGUUUUUGGUUCUUUUGAUAAUUUCCAUUUCUCUUCUUAUUUCCUCAUUUGUUCCCUCAUUAUGAUCACAUUUUCUUUCAAGUCCUUGUCUGCUAAUUUAAACAUCUGGAUCAUCUAGGAAUUUGUUUCUAUUGACUGCUCUGUUUUUUUUUUUUAAGUUAGAGAUCACAUUUUCCUGUUUCCAUGUCCAGUCAUUAUUUAACUGUAUUUGGACCUUGUGUAUGAUAUGUUGUAGAGAUUCUGGGUUCUGUUAUCUUUUUCUAAGGAAUGGAUUUUUGUUCUAGCAUGCAAUUAAAUUACUGGUUGACCACUUUGACAUUGUGGUAGCUUAGUUUUAUGCUUUGUUAGGGCCUUUUAAUGAUGCAGUUUUGUCCCUUUUUCCUGAGUUAUUAUUAUUAUUAUUUUUUAGGAAGAUUAGCCCUGAGCUAAAAUCUGCCACCAAUCUUCCUCUUUUUGCUGAGGAAGACUGGCCCUGAGCUAACAUCCAUGCCCAUCUUACUCUAUGUUAUAUGUGGGAUGCCUGCCACAGCAUGGCUUGAUAAGCAGCGCAUAGGUCCGUGUCUGGGAUCCAAAUCAGCAAAGUCCUGGAACAUGUGAACUUAAUCACUAUGCCACCAGGUUGGCCCCUUGAAUUAAUUUCUUGGCCUUAGCUCAUCAUCUAUAUUGCUAAGGUGUGGCCUUACUGGGUUUUAAGUAAAGCUUUAGAUGUUUACCCAACCCUGCUAACCUAGUAAAACUCAAAUUUCUAAUUUUGUCUCCCCUUCACCAGACAUAUUUACUCAGCUCUUUUAGCCUUCUAGUUGUUCCCUUCCUCCAAGUCCUUAUAGACGUCCUUCCACAAGCACAGUUACCAAGUCAGCCAAGACAUUAGGAGAGUUUAUAUGCAGAUUUAUGGGUGCCCUCCCUCCGUGGCUCCAUCCUUUCCAAGAUUUCCUCCCUCAAUUUCAGGUAUUCUGCCAAUGCCAAACUCCAUCCUCUGACACUUCAAACCAGUAAGAUUAUGGCUUGCUGAUUGAAUUCUAACUGACUCACACCACACAGACUGGGGAGUUUCUUGAGGGGAAAAGCUGUAAGAAAUGUGGAUUCACCCAGUACAGUUCAUUCCUGAUUCUGUCUGUUUUUGGUCACUUUUUCAAUGCUUUCAAAUAAUUGUUUAUGUUUUUAACUGUAGUUUAGUUGUUUUUAAAAAAAUCAUAACCAGAGUUUAAAAUGGUUAUCUAUGGAAAUGUUUGUCCUGGGAUAGUACAAGUUACUGCUCCAUUACCAAAAUCAGAACUAUCAAAGGUACAGUUUUAUAGUAAAUAGUAUUAGAAAUUGAUUUGGAAAAUUGAAUUAUAAUCAAAGUAUCAAUAGGCUUUCUCCUCCUAAUAAACUGCUUGUUCCUUGUGAGAAAAGACUUUUAUUCGUGUCAUUUUUUUUUAAUCGUUCACAGUGAAAAUGGUAGUAUUCCACUUACUAAAUAUGGCCAAUGAAUAUUUGUAUAAUAAAAUUCAAAACAAUAAUCUAUAUGAGUGAGAUUAAAUAGAGUUACAAAUAAAGAAAACCACCUUAAGGAACGUGCUUGAGAGAUUAGUGGUAUGAGAUAUUUCUGGUUAUGACAGAGAUUCUGAACAUGUGGUACAGUUGUGCAGGGAAAAUGGGUAACUCCAUCCUCAUCAUUUUUAAAGACUUAUUCUAAUACAGACAUUUGCUAAGUAUUUUAGAUGGAUGAACUUAUAUAGUAGCUCAGGUAGUCAGACUCCAGAGUCAAAUUCCAACCAUUCCCUCUUAUUGCCUCCUGAGAACUGAGAUCAAACUCAUUCAGUCAUCACGUGUUCUAACAAUAUACAUCUCCUAUUAAUAUUCUUCCCAUUUUCUACGUUAGCAACUUGCUUCCUCUGUCAUGUAAACUUGCUCUCCAUCCUUCCUGUAAAAUUCUUGCUCAUUUCCUGGAGCAGCGGUAAAAUGGAGACCUCAGAUUGAAGCAGUAAAUAGUCAAGAAAUACCUCUGAAAUCAAUGAAACUGAAACAGUCUGCCCAUUUCUGUCCUUUAAAAAUCAGUUUCAAAUCCGUCCCUUCCAGAGAGCCUCCAGUAUUUAACCUGGAACCACCAAUCACUCCUCUGACAAAUCUGACCUUGGCGAAUUGAUACAAUAGACUAAUUAUUAAUUAUUUACUUUUAUGUCUCAACAACAUUCUAGGUGCUUGUGGAAAACAAAUGAAGAACAAGACAAGGUCUUUAGCUAGAAGCUCAUUACACUUUGGUUGGGGAGAUUCUUACCCAUCACAGUCCCCUAAAGUAUACUCUUCAUCCAGUUUAUCACAACAGUCUCUACGUAUGCAUAUAUUCCAAUGUGCUAUUUUGCUUUUCUCUCUUCUUUGUAAUGAUUUCACGCAGGCUGUUCAUUUCAAGAACCUGACUGACUUCCUGUUGGUACCAUCACUUUAACCCUGAGGACUGAGGGCCAAGUGGAGCCCUAUGGUUCCUAUCAGGUCCCCCUGGUACAACUCAGUCCUUGCUGCCUCAUCCAACCUUCCUCUCUCAGUUUGUAAUCAGCUUAACUUUUAAAGUCUUUAUACACAUUAGGUAAUAUUUGUCCUCUGUACUCCCAGGGGACUGUGGUCACUGCCCAGCUAGGAAGCCCUACCCUUCAUUAUUCAGCAACAGCUUGAAGAGUAUUCUAAUUCUGACCUUCCGCCCUCUGACUGGACCAGCUGCAUCAAAGGCUGUGUUCCCUUGUUUGUUUGUUUUUUUCCUGAAGCAGAAUCACCAUUUCAAACUAAGUCAUCUAUUAGAAAAGAAAGGACUCUGGGUCCAAAUUUUCAAACAUAUCUCUUCUGUGAACCAUAGCAAAUCUAAACUGGAUUAUACCUUAUGUUAGAGUCAGGACUCACGUGGUCCCUUUUUCUCUGCCCCUCUGGAUCCCCGCAUGCUGUUCAGGGGAAGUUGCUGGCUUUUGAACCUGACAGUUUGAAAAUGAAGGCAUUUUUCUUUUAGGGAGAAUAGUCCUUCAGUGAUUCAAACAACGAGGCUUGUGAUCAAAAUAAUUCAUAAAGGAAAAGAUUUAUGAAGUGACUUCACUAGCACACAAUGCAUUUUUUAAACUUUGUUUUUUAAAUAAAUCUGUCAGUACACAAGCCAAGACAACACAUCUGAAUGCAAUAUCAGUGGACACACCCUGAAUCGCUUCUCCUGUGCUUGUCCAAGACUGUGGCAGAAACGGAAAGUGCUCCUUUUUGUCUCUUCUUUUUAUUUAAUAUUAGUUUUUUUAAAAAAAUUAAAAACACUAGUUCUAGGAAAAGACUUUUAAAAAAUGUGCAUACUGCCAUUUCCUACAUAAAACACGCCUUUAAAAAAUGCAUUGUCCAUCUACCACUUGUGCUUGUUUAAGAAAAUAAAAAAUAAAUAAAGAAGUCCAACUUAUAAUGAAUCCCUCUGGCAUCAGGAAGCCUGUCCUAACCUUCGUUUAUCAGGUUUGAGUGAUAGUUCUGCUCAACGAGUAUUGACAGGACCGUCCUGUUCUCAGGCUUUCGUUUCUCUCAGUUGGAGAAGGAUACAGUGCAUUUUCACAUUCUCAAAGUCUGCAGUUGUUUUUAUAUAAGAAGCAAUUUGCUUGGGUCACGUCAGGUCGAAUGGGAUGCCUGCCCAGCUCUUGGUUUUAAAGGAAAAACAUACAGAAAGACACAAAAACACAGCAGUUUCCUUCAUUAAAUUCCACUCUACCUGCCAUGGGCUUCUAGCCACAAUGGAAUUUCCCACCCUGGCCUAGCCUAGCCUAACUUUUAUUUUUAGGGAUUUUUUUUUCCCUUAAAUCUUAUGAGCUUUCUUUCAAGUGAACUUUGAGGUAAGGAUUAUUAAAUAAUAGAGCAAUUGCCUGGUUUAAAACAAAUCGGACAUGAGAAACAAAUGCCUGGUGA
RNAcentral lists this long non-coding RNA (53472 nucleotides) under Equus asinus (donkey). RNAcentral's name for it is "lncRNA (ENSEASG00005030898.1)". The record is from RNAcentral. Lineage: Eukaryota; Metazoa; Chordata; Mammalia; Perissodactyla; Equidae.